RNAcentral lists this long non-coding RNA (49728 nucleotides) under Lactuca sativa (garden lettuce). RNAcentral's name for it is "long non-coding RNA (LSAT_LNC008447)". The record is from RNAcentral. Lineage: Eukaryota; Viridiplantae; Streptophyta; Magnoliopsida; Asterales; Asteraceae.
UGCAUAUCUAAACUCCUUGGUUUCUUAAAAUUUUCAAGAACCGAAACCUCCAGAAGGUUCGGGUUCGGUUUUUCAAAAUUUUCAAGAACCGAAACCAACCGAAGGUUCGGGUUCGGUUUUUCAAAAUUUUCAAGAACCGAAACCAACCGAAGGUUCGGGUUCGGUUUUUCAAAAUUUUCCUGAACCGAAACCAACCGAAGGUUCGGGUUCGGUUUUUCAACUUUUUCCAACCGAAACCAACCGAACGUUCGGGUUCGGUUUUUCAAAGUUUUUUUUUAAUCGUAUUUUUUUCUUUUAACUCUUUUAUAAUUUUUUUUACGUUUUUUUUUUAAUUUUAAUUUUUAUUUUUAUUUUCAAUUUCAAAAACUCCAAAAAUAUUUUAUUUUUUUUUGUGUGCUCAUUUGUUUAUGGGGAUAUAUUUGAUGACUUACUUAAGUGUCCCUAGAAGCAUGCUGCUGUAUGUGUCCCAAGCCUCAUAAGAUUUUGAAUAAUAGCCUUCAUGACCUGGUAAACACAAACCUUGUCUUCCCAAUAAGGCUAACUUAUUUAUUCUAAUCGUGAGCUACCUCACUCUAUUCUCACACGAGUUCAGAGUCUCCUGCUUGGUCCUUAUGUUCGCAGCAGAGGUACUAUGUCUUCUUUCACCAUCUCCAUUACAAUUCUCCAUAACAUUCGUUUCAUCACUGUAACCCUUGAGACUCUCAGAAACUACCACUGAGGUUUAUGGUUACACAACCUCUGUGUUUAUGAUCUUAGUUUCGUGCCACUACGAACUGAGUGAAACCCAAAAUUCAACACCAACGAAUUGACGGUGACCAAUUAACUUGAUCAAGUUUUCACCAAUGAAUUGACGAAUGUACCUUCAUGAAAUCUCAAUUUCUUUUCUUUUUGCGUGGUUCCAAUGAAAUUGUUACACACCAUAACAUUUCUUCCCAAGGGAUCCAGUUUUAAAUUUUUAUCUGAGAUUUCAUAUUCAUCCAAGCCACUACAGAAUCAACUCAAACCUACUUGUUCAACAGACUACACUGGUCUCACAAGUACUUUGUUCACAUUCGUUCUUAUAUCAAGAAUUGAAUUGAUGAAUCAAAGCGAAACCACCCUUAAUUUGCCUUAUUAAAAGAAGCCUUUCAACAUUUAUUAAUAAAUGUUUGAUCGUAAUUCAACGGGAUUCCACACUAACACUUUGAGGUCUCUCUUGACCUUGAAGGAAGAGAUUCGUGCCCGGGAUCAUCAGUUUCGUGUCAUUAUUGACAUCACAGAUUAUCCUAAAAAGAGUUGCUUUAUUUCUUUAUCUUUUACACUCUUUGCACGAAAAUCCUAGAUUUUCAAAAAUUCCGUUACUAAUUAUUUUAUAGGCUGGAAAAUUAAUGGAUGGUUCAUAAUGAAGCUGUGGUUACCAAUAAUCCACGUGGGCGUUUUAUUCAAAAGACAGCAGAUUAAAAAGGGGAAGAGACAAAAGAUGCUGACGCGGCGGAAGUUCAAAGGAUAGAAAUUCAAACGACGGUAAAAGGCGGGCGCGUGAAUUUGAAGAGGCCGCGCUUUUUCUGACACUAUUGGACGCGUGUCCAGUAUUGAAGCGUCAUCCAUCAGGCAUUAAUGGCGCGUGUGGAAAUGGAAACGGUUCCUCUCUCUGAACCGGCGCUUAUUGGGCGGCGUGAUCCUAGGAAUCUGACACUCUCUCUCCUACGUGAUCAUCGCACGUCCCAACUGUCACCAAUCAGUCACUCAAAAACCCUUCCAUAUUUCCAUAAGAGAUUUGAAUCGAUCUUUCUCUCUCCUAUCACCUACUAUAAAAACCCAUCCAGACCACCUUUUACCUCUUUACUGCCCCAUAAUUUCCAAAGCAAAAAUACUUCCAAACUCUCUCCCGGUUAUCUUCUUCUCCAACCUGCAACAAUGGCUGAAUCCUCUUCCGUCCAUGCUACUUCUCAGAUUCUCCCCAUCAGACCUCAACAAUGCCUUGUCAUUGAUCUGAACCCACAAGCCUAUGAUCCCUACAUGUCGCCGAUUAUUGAAUGCCUCAAGUACUCCCAACUUGCUCCGGCAUUGUCCAAGAUUGAAACGGUGCCAAUGGUGGCUCUUUCUCAGGUCUAUGCGACGGCCUACUACGACAAGGGCGUCGACAGGAUCUUUUUCGAAGUGGCGGAACACAAGACGUCGAUUUCUCGUUCCCGCUUCUGCUCUAUGCUUGGGUUUGCUGCUGACCCAUCGCGUGUUCACCCGGAGACAAUUCCGGUUGGUAUGCUCUACAGCAUGUUCUACAACAUGGGCUACACGGAAGUUCUCACCUCCGUCGCCAGAUUCAAGAAGUCAUGCCUACCGCCCCAAUGGAAUGGGUUAUUUACAGUUCUCUUCAAGGGACUGUCAGAACGAAGCUCAGGAUCGGACGGGGCCAGUCGUCUUUUCCUGUCGAUUAUGUAUGCGGUGUACAACGGGAUCAAUCUGGACUACGGAUUUGUCCUUUGGCAACAACUGAUUCAGAGCCUCUCUUCCGUUUCCCGACACUCCGAGGUGUCACUAGCCCGGUUCUGGAUCUUGAUCACAAGAUGGGCUAUGGACAAGUUCGAUGUCCAAACUGCUGACGGUGCACCGAUGUCUUCGAUUGGUACGUUCCACACCACGAAGAUCAUCGUAUCCGCUGCAUCGAAAUUCUCCUUCAUUGGCUCUAUCCCGGAGUCGAUGUAUGGUAGUGUGCCAUCAGACAGCAGUAUGAUCAAGGCGAUCAAGGAGUUAGGGCCAUCUGGUCCGAGGGAACUGACACCGGACAUGCUGCGAUCAAUUCAUGAUGCUGACAAACCGGUGGCAAGGGGUAAGAAGGCAGACAAGGGGAAGAAACCAUCAAAAGCCCCAAAACCCACUCCCAAGAAACGCAAACAACCGAAGGCUGCUUCCUCUCCAAAACCGAAAAGGAGGAAGACCCAACCGAAACGGACGCUCGUCCUUUCCUCAACCUCCAGUGAAUCCGAAGGUGGGAGUUCGGACUCUGAGGGGUCACAAGGAGACGAAUCUCCACAAAGAGGCAACACACCCCCUCGGUCCCCAACCCCGGAGAUGGAACUUCACCAAUCCCCAGUUCCUUCCCCUCCACCCACAAUACCUAUUUCCAUUCCCACCAUAACCCCUACUAUACCACCAACCUCAUUCCCUAUACCUCCACCCAUAUUCACCACCUCAACCGAAACACCACCUGUAACCGAAACCCCUCCCGUAACCGAACCUCCACAAACCGAAACCCAUACACAACCACCACCCGAAACUAACCCCCCACCUACUCAACCUGAACCAACCAAACCCAUAACACCCCCAGCUUCACCACCACCUCAAUCUCCAGAAGACGCCUCCGAUGGCGAUGAUCAAUACCUAGGUGGUGACCACCUGAACUUUGAUUCGGUCUACUAUAGUCCGUUUCAAGUUCAAAGUGAUGAGGAGGAUGAUGCUCCUGUAACCAAGAAGCAUCUCCGCGAGCUGAACGAGAAGGUUGAUCAACUUCUCGCCUCCUCUUCCAAUCAGCAGUCAUCCUUAUCUGAAGCUGCCCUUCAGAGGAUAGUUGAUGCCUUCUCUAGGGCUCAACAUGACUCAGUGGCCUCUGCUACUGCUGCAAUAGACGCCUCCACCCGAGCUUGUGAGGCAGCGACCGAAAAAGUCGAUAAACUAUUCCAUGACGCUACAAUCCUGCUGCAGUCUAUGCAGGAAAGCGCCGAAGCCACCAAAACAACUCUGGAACCACUUGUUAAUCAAUUGGCCCAGUUUGUAAAGACGGAGUUAUCCUCGUUCGCUACCCUCAGACAAAACCUUAGCGACGACAACUCGGCACUCCGUGCCUCCAUUGAAGCCCGCUUGGCAAAGCUACAAGAGGAUCUUGCGGCUGAAAAUAAACUGAUGGACGUCCUGGCGAGUAAGACUACUGCCCUCAAGGUCAAGAGCACCCAACUUUCCAACUCCGAACAACAAUUGGAGGCUCUUCGAUCCGAAAGGGAAAUCAUCAAGACGUGUGUUUCGGAUGUCCACGCCGCUCUAUCCAACAUCCUGGAAGCACACGACCCCAUCCUCAAUCACUCGGUGAGGCGUACCCUCGCUGAGAAACUCUCUCCGGCCAUGGCUCUCUUGAGUAAAAUUGAAGGCCUACCCAGUUUCGUGUCCAUUCCGAAACAAGGGGGAGAUGAGAAGAAAGGAUCGAAACCACCUCCUUCCUCAAAAGCAACUCACACAACCGAACCACCCCCAACUGGUCAUGCCUCGGGUUCGGGUGUGAAGGACAAGGGCAAAAACAUUGCAGAGGGAGGAGAUGAAGAUGAAGAUGAAGAUGAAGACAAGGAGACUAUUGCGGACAUGUUAAAGAGAAAGAACAGUCGCAAUACUGAUGACGAUGUCAGUCGUGUGGCACGUGAAGCUGAAGAAGCCGAACGUAAACAAAAAGAAGCCAACGAUCUCCUUGAGAGCCGAAAGCUGCUCUUCCCUGCCUGGACCAGGGAUCGUCUGAUAAAAGAGGCCAUAGAGACUCCAAGCAUACUAUGGCUCGAGCCGGUGAUAUCGUUCGACUGCAUCAACUCGGUCGAUUCGCAAUUUGAUAUGCCGCUGACUCGAAAGGCGUUCAUCUUCCACGCCUUCUCCAACAUUUUCGAAGUCCCGCAUCCGAACGAUGAGCUUGACAGGGAGCUCAUUGACUUUUAUCUGGAGGCCGCUCGCCCUCAAUACCUUACAUGGAGCGCCCAGAAGAUUGUCAAUGUUCGGGUGAUGAAGCCGUUUGCCGUGGGGAGAUUCACAAACGUCAAGUUCAAGCUUAUCCGAGGAUCUGCAAGAACUGCUCACAUGAUCUCUCUGGCGGAUCUGCCCAAUCUGAACCCUCAUGAUUGGAUAGUCUUGUACAACAUCUUGCUGACAAACGAAGCCGAAUAUGGUCCCAUCUUAGACCAUGUCAAAAGGAUGCUGGCAUGCUAUAUCAUGGAGGUGGCCCUAAUGGAUCAGGAGGUUGCCACAGUGUUUAAGAAGAAACCGAAAGUCAAGCCUGUGGGAUCGGCCAGUGAUCUAAACACGAUGAAAAUGGGCAAGAUAGAUUCGAGGCGAAACUCUGUGAUGUUCACCAGAGCCGAAGGACAGAAAUGUCUGUUCGCGUUAGCUGACAAGCACCUCUACACCACUACCUGCUUGGAACACGUUCUAUCUAUCGUCAAGCGGUGUAAGGACAAUUCGGCUGAUGACAUCAAAUAUUUUGAAGAUAUGAUCAAUUGGUACAUCCGGUUUAGACAGACCAUCCUUUCCAUAACCAAGUGUCUGUUUAGUACCGUGAAGAAGAAGGUACCAGCUUCAGCCGCCGGCCCAAGUACGAAGUGAUGGUCUCGCUCCAAAUUGACGCAAAGGGGGAGAUUGUUGGGCUGAAGUUCUGUUUUGUAUUGCGUCUUUUGGGCUCGUAGAUUAACUUUGUAUUCUCCGGUUUGGGCCUGUCCAACCGAGAGCCUUUUAUGUAUUGUAUAUAAGUUAUCGCUUGCAUGCAUAUUAGGUUAAGAUUCAAGAUUUCUGUUUUAGCGUUCCAAAGUUUACGAAAUUGCUCUCUUGUAAUCUUCCAAUCCUUUACAGUUGAUGUUCUUAAUCGAGCUCUUCUAAGGAUUUUAUUUAAUCAUUCGACACGUUUGAUUCAAGCUGUUUGUUCUUAUUAUUGCGUUCUGCCUUGCUGUUUAUAUUGUGUUCUUGCAGUUUCAUAUUCAUAUACUUGUUCACGAUCUAAUCGAUCUUUAUAGAUUAAAAGUUAUUAUUUUAAAUCUCAUCAGAGACUUUUGAACAUUUCAUUUCUGAUGCUAUUGUUAUUUAUUUAUUAAUUCAAAAAGGACUACAAUACUUGACUUAUGUCAUUACAUUGACUUGAAAUAUCGGGUUGUCACAACAGCGGCCCCGGCCUUGCUGGACCUUCGACCUAGAGUCGAAUCCCUUGGAUUUCUUCGCAGAAAGCCCUGUCUCCUGUCCCUCCUCCGCUUUCCUCUUACUGAUGUGCUCUAAGUCAAUCUCCAUCCCCUCGCCCUGGCAAUCAUGGAAUCCAGGGUCGGGCAUGCCGAGUAGCUGACAUGCUCCUAAAUGUCAUCUCUGAACAUGUCAUGAUAUCGAGUCUUCCGCAUCUCCUGAUCCCUCACGUAAUGAGGCACCAAGAAGGCCCUCUCCCGGAACAUGGCCGUAAUAUUCGAGACUAUCUCUGGAGUUUGUCUCAUGUCGAGAAACUCCCUAGCCAGCUGCUGAAGCUCCACAGCCGGUGCAAACUUACCCCUAAACCUGGUCACAAAUUUUGACCUGGUCAUAGCCUCAAUGUAACAUCUGGACUCCCAGGUACGUUAUUUAUGUGUUUAAUUUUGGGAUUUAUUGAGUGACUCGACGAGUUGUGAGUCCAACUCGUCGAGUAGAGUCGAGUUGACUGCGUGAGAUUAAUGAGCGGACUCGACGAGUCAGAGAGCCGACUCACCAAGUAGGUGUUGUAUAGCGAAACCCUAAAUCCCUAGGUUUGGGGCCUAUAUAAGGGAACUGAUAGCCUUAUUUUCGGCUCAUUAGCUACCCAACCUUCUUAAGUGAAACCCUAAAAGUGUGUGGUGAGCUAUGAGAGUCUCCAAGUUAAUCGUGAGAAAUUUUAAUGCGUCUUUUGAGGAGAAGGGGAGUUGUCCAGCAAGGAACAAGUAAGAGUUGUUGGAUCAAGGGUCAAUUCGUCCAAAGCUUCAAGGGGAAGGUAAAAAUUAUGCUCCUUUGUCAUUCUUAUGGUUAGAUCUUACGAUUUUGGAAGGUUAGGGAUUAUACCACCUUUAUUUGGGACUUCGAGCUUACAGAUUUGUCUUGAGGUUUAGACCUCAGAUCUGGACCUUAUAAGGUCCCUAGAGUCCAAAGGUCCGAACUUUAUUCACCAAUACGAAGGAUAUUGUGCUUGACACAUUGUGAGAGCAUGUUUUGGUAUGUUAGAGCAAAACUACCAUCCAUGAACGUAAAGAUCAAAGUUUUACGUGACAAUGGAGUCUUGGGAUUCCAGAUCUACUGCUUGGAGUGAUAUAGCUGCUUUGAAUCAUCUGAAUGAGAAAUAAGAUUGAAGGGACUCGCCGAGUCUAUGAGCUGACUCGACGAGUCGGCUGGGGUUUUUCCCCGAUGAGUCUGGAUAUGGGUGACUCGGCGAUUUGGCGAGGCAACUCGAUGAGUCAAGGUGGAUUUUAGCAAUAUGAAAGAAGAAUCAAGGAGAGUCGACGAGUCACAUAGAUGCACUCAGCGAGUCGGGUCAAACAUGGACUGUUGACCCGAGUUUGACUUAUGUAGACUUUAGGGUUUGGUCACACAUGAGUAAUGGAGACCAUGGAGGGGUGAAAUGGUCUUUUACCCAAUCCUAGAGCUAGAGAGAGAGAGAGGGAAACCUUUUGGUAUAUUGAGUAUGCAUAGUGUAUCAAUUAGAGAUAUUUAUUCAAUGUGUUAGGCGGAGGCUAGUUCGAGGUUUCCGAGUGCAACAUUGUUACUUUUUAGCUUUCGAGGUGAGUCUUCUGACUAUACUUACCGUGAGUGGUAUCGUCAUGUGACCGAGGUGUCUUAUGUGCUUACUUGUGUAUUGUGAUAUUCUGUGUCAUGACUUUGUGAUUUCUGUCGACUUUUAUUAUUAUGAUCUUUUUGAGUUAGAACCGGAGGGUCCACCCGAGUUAUAGGACUGGAGGGUCCCACUGAGACACAUUGACCGGAGGGUCUUAUCUGAGUAUGGCCAUGAGAGCCUACUGAGAUAUGUGUAGUAUUUUUGGGGAACUCGCUAAGCUUCAUGCUUGCCGUGUUAUGUGAUAUGUGUUUCAGGUACUUUUCAGAUUACCGGGAAGGCGUCGGCUCGAUUGUACAUACGAGAGAAAGAGUUAUGUUCGGAGGAUCCUGGAUCUGUGAUAAAUAAAUUUUUAAAAAAAUGUGUUGAUAAAUUGUUACUUGUGAAUUUGAGGAUAUGUGAUGCGGGCCCUAGUGUGGAGGAUCGGGCCCUUGCGUUCCUAGAGGCCCACGAUCGUGUGACUAAAGGGACUUCACGAAAAUGGCCAUAACUUUGGCUACGAAUCUCCGUUUUGGGCCUACGACCAGUCAAAUCGAAGCUUGGAGCAAGGAGCACGUCUAGAUAAGUCCCCGAAGGGGACUUACCCAUUUUUGAGUCCAUAAAUCGCUUUCUAAAUGGAGUUAUGAGCAAUUUUUGUUAUUUUUCCUUAAUUUUUGGGUUUUGUUUUUGGGUUUGUAUUUGGCCCAUGGACUUUUAGGGUUUCAUUUUAAUUUCUGCUUCUUAUUUAACUGUUUUUGAUGUAAUUUGGAUGGUCAAUCAUCAAUUUUAUGAACUUUCGAUUUUCUCCCAAAUUCUGUGUGUUAACCCAGAUUUUGAAGCCAAUCCCACGGUAUUCGUAGAAUCAACGUGGUUUUGAAGAGAUUGUCCUGGCUAUUCUUUUAGAAUCAACAGGUUCAUUCUUGGUUAUCUUUGUGUUGUUUUUUUGCGCUGCAUCAGUUGGUAUCAGUGCCGAAUUCCUGGUUCAAAAUGCCUCCGAGGAGAAACAGGACGCCCGCUAAUGUUCAUGAGCAAGAACUAGAAGAACGUAUUAUGGCACGAAUGGAGGAGAGGAUGGAUCAAAUGGUUGACCAACUGACUGAUAGGAUGGUCGAACUGAUGAAUCGAGGAGGGCAAAGGUCUCGAACACAUUCUCAAGUGGAAGAUGGUGAAUUUGGGAACCCGUUCGGCGGCAGUGACGGUUCAUAUUCUGAAGAUGAUCUAGAAAGGCGGCCAAGGCGUGAUCAUAGAGGUGACAAUAGGCGUUGGGAGGCCGGAAUGAGAAUUGAUAUCCCAGAAUUCGACGGGGUCAGUUUGAAUCCAGAGGGGUUCAUCGACUGGUUGGCUACUGUUGAGGAAGUUUUUGAGUUCAAAGAAGUCCCUGAAAACAAAAGAGUGUCAUUGAUUGCUACCAGGCUACGUGGUAGGGCAUCUGCAUGGUGGCAACAACUGAAACUGACACGAGACAGGCUCGGAAAGUCAAAGGUCGUGACUUGGAGGAAGAUGAAGAAGUGUUUACGAUCCAACUUCCUACCCCAUAAUUUUCAAAGGUUGAUGUACCAACGGUUGCAAAAUCUGAAGCAGGGUGCCAAAUCAGUUGACGAUUACACAACUGAGUUCUACCAAUUGAUUGCCCGAAACGAUAUCCAGGAGACAGAGGAACAACUCGUUGCUCGAUAUAUUGGGGGUCUACGGGUCCAAAUCAUGGACUCUGUAAAUAUGUUUGACCCGGUAUCUAUUUCUGAAGCGCACCAACGGGCGUUGGCUUUUGAGAAACAAAGUCGUCGGGUGGGCGGUUCGUCUUCAACUGCCAAUAUUGGAGGAAGUCCCGGGACGGGUGGUAUGGUACCCCGUGUUGUUCCUAAUCAACAAAGACCGACAUCUAACAGUGUUGGACCAAACCCUAGGACAACUGUUAGUAGCAGCUUGAAGUGUUUUAGUUGUGGGGAGACAGGUCACCGACAAUCAGAGUGCAAGAAGGUCGGAAAACGUCAUUUGUUUGCUGAGCAAGAUGAUUGGCAAAAUGAUGAUGCCGGUGAAAAUUACGAAGAUCCCCCUGUGUAUGACGAAGAGCAUCAAUGCGAGGAGGAAGUUGUAACUGGAGAUGUGGGGGUAAAUUUGGUGGUAAGGCGGUCUUGUUUUACACCAAAAGUUGUUGGUGAUGAUUGGCUCAAACACAACAUCUUUCAGUCGACAUGUACUAUUUUGGGAAAGGUUUGUACUUUUGUUAUUGAUUCAGGAAGUUGUGAUAACCUUAUAUCUGAAGAAGCAGUUCAAAAGUUGGCUUUGAAAACAGAAAAUCGCCCUAAGCCUUACAAGCUACAGUGGCUUAAGAAGGGUGGCGAGGUCACUGUAUCUAAACGAGCCCUUGUUCAUUUUUCUGUUGGUACCACGUAUAAAGAUGAUGUGUGGUGUGAUGUGGUUGCUAUGGAUGCAUGUCAUUUGUUGUUGGGCAGACCUUGGGAGUAUGAUCGUAACAUAGAUCAUAACGGGCGGACUAACACUUACAGUUUCUUGUUUGGUGGUGUGAAGAUAACAUUGGUUCCCAGUAAGCCAAAUGAGCCAGUUCCGAGAACUUCGGGUACUCUACUAACCCUUAAUCAGUUUGAAGACGAGUUGGAGGCGGAAGGUAAAAUUUUUGUAUUGCUCGGGAAGGAAGUCGCUAAGGAGGUUGAAAUUCCUGAGGCUAUGGUCCCUCUGCUCAAGGAAUUCGCUGAUGUUUUCCUAAUGAAUUACCNUUUUGUAUUGCUCGGGAAGGAAGUCGCUAAGGAGGUUGAAAUUCCUGAGGCUAUGGUCCCUCUGCUCAAGGAAUUCGCUGAUGUUUUCCCUAAUGAAUUACCUGAUGGUUUGCCACCUUUACGUGAUAUCCAACAUCAUAUUGAUUUACAACCAGGAGCUCAGUUGCCUAAUAGGCCACAUUACAGAAUGAGUCCCGGAGAGCAUGAGGAGUUGCGACGACAGGUGGAGGAUUUGAUUUCAAAAGGUCAUGUUCGAGAGAGCAUGAGCCCGUGUGCUGUUCCUGCUUUGUUGACUCCUAAAAAGGAUGGUACUUGGCGUAUGUGUGUUGAUAGUCGCGCCAUCAACAAGAUCACGGUGAGGUAUAGAUUUCCAAUUCCUCGACUUGAUGACCUACUUGACCAGAUUAGUGGUGCCUCUAUCUUUACGAAACUGGACUUGAAGAGCGGGUACUAUCAGAUUCGACUUAGGCCUGGGGAUGAGUGGAAGACUGCCUUCAAGACUCGUGAAGGAUUGUAUGAGUGGUUGGUGAUGCCUUUCGGUUUAUCAAACGCUCCUAGUACAUUUAUGCGUGUGAUGAACCAGUUGUUCAGGCCCUUUAUUGGUAAAUUUGUAGUCGUUUAUUUUGAUGACAUACUUAUUUACAGUGCUACUUUUGGUGAGCAUGUCAACCAUGUGAGGCAGGUUUUGACUGUACUUCGACGGGAUAGUUUGUAUGCAGCUAUGAAGAAAUGUGUGUUUAUGGUUCCUAAAGUCUUGUUCUUGGGGUACGUUGUUUCUGGGGAAGGAAUACAGGUGGACGAGUCUAAAGUAGCAGCUGUCAGACAAUGGCCAAGUCCAACUACCAUCACUGAAGUUCGAAGCUUUCAUGGCCUUGCUUCAUUCUAUAGGAGGUUUAUUCCAAACUUUAGUUCUAUUAUGGCACCGGUGACUGAUUGUAUGAAAGGGAAGACCUUUACUUGGACCGAAGCAGCAGAAUCAGCUUUCCAAUUAGUAAAAGAGAAGCUUACUACAUCACCGAUUCUUGUAUUGCCAGACUUUUCUCAAGUGUUUGAAUUACACACGGAUGCUUCCAAGGUUGGGAUUGGAGCAGUUCUAAGUCAAGGAGGACGACCGGUUGCCUAUUUUAGUGAGAAGUUGACGGGGCCAAAGCUGCGUUAUAGCACUUAUGAUGUUGAGUUCUAUGCAGUGGUCCAAGCUGUAAAGCAUUGGCGCCAUUAUCUAUUUCAUAAGGAAUUUGUUUUGUUCACAGAUCAUGAUUCAUUAAGACAUAUUCGCAGUCAAGAUAAGGUGUCACACAAACAUGGGAGGUGGAUGUCGUUCUUGGAAAAAUUCACUUUCGUGGUUAAACACAAGUCUGGGAUGUCAAAUCGGGUGGCUGAUGCAUUGAGUCGGAGGAGUAAUUUGCUAGUUUCCAUGAGGGUUGGUGUGCCGGGGAUGGAUGUCCUCAUGGAGCAGCUAACGGUUGAUCCUUAUUUUUCUGUUGUUCUGCAGGGUAUACAAUCUGGACAGAUGUCUGAUUUUCUACUGCAUGAAGGUUUUCUUUUCAAAGGCAAUCAAUUGUGCAUCCCUGAUUCAAGUCUCCGCCUUCAAAUCAUUAGGGAGCUGCAUGGUGAAGGGCAUGUCGGCCGAGAUCGCACUUUACAGUUGGUACAAUCAUCUUAUUUUUGGCCUACAAUGCGCAAGGAGGUGGAUAGAUAUGUUAAACGGUGUCGAAUCUGUCAGGUGUCAAAGGGCACAUCUACCAAUGCAGGACUCUAUAUGCCUUUGCCUGUUCCAUCACAACCUUGGGUAGACAUCAGUAUGGAUUUUGUGUUGGGUUUACCACGUACUCAACGGGGAAAUGAUUCAAUAUUUGUGGUUGUUGAUCGUUUUUCUAAGAUGGUGCACUUUAUUCCAUGCAAAAAGACGACAGAUGCAGUUAAUGUAGCCCAGUUAUUCUUUCGAGACGUCUACCGUUUGCAUGGAUUACCGUCUUCUAUUGUAUCAGAUCGAGACACUAGGUUUUUGAGUCAUUUUUGGCGUAGCCUAUGGAAAAUGGUGAACACUCAGCUCAAUUUUAGUAGUGCAUAUCAUCCUCAAACGGAUGGCCAAACAGAGGUUGUCAAUCGAUCCCUUGGUAAUAUUUUGCGGUGUUUAGUGGGUGAUCAUGUGAAGACCUGGGAUCAGAAGCUUUGUCAAGCUGAGUUUGCUCAUAAUCAUGCUAUCAACCGAAGUACUGGAUAUAGUCCAUUCCAGGUGGUCUAUUCUGUUCAGCCACGGGGACCACUUGAUUUGAUGUCACUGCCUGUUUCUAGGGUAGUUCCAAAGAAAGUGCAGGAUUUUGUUGGAGGACUACAUGAUGUUCAUAGGGCUGUUCAUGACAACUUGGUCCGAGCUAACUCCAAGUACAAGCAAGAUGCAGAUAAAAAACGCAGACAAGUUGAUUUUGAAGUAGGUGAUUUUGUUUGGGCUGUUUUGACUAAAGAUCGUUUUUCGGUUGGUGAGUACAACAAGCUAUCAGCUAAGAAGAUUGGACCAGUGGAGAUUGUGGAGAAGAUUAAUUCCAAUGCUUACCGUCUACAGUUGCCAAGCCACAUUCGUUGUUCCGAUGUAUUCAAUGUAAAGCAUUUGCUUCCUUAUUAUGGGGAUUCUUCUGAUGAUGACCAUGGUGCACAUUCGAGGUCGAAUUUUGUCUACCCGGGAGGGGAUGAUGCGGGCCCUAGUGUGGAGGAUCGGGCCCUUGCGUUCCUAGAGGCCCACGAUCGUGUGACUAAAGGGGCUUCACGAAAAUGGCCAUAACUUUGGCUACGAAUCUCUGUUUUGGGCCUACGACCAGUCAAAUCGAAGCUUGGAGCAAGGAGCACGUCUAGAUAAGUCCCCAAAGGGGACUUACCCAUUUUUGAGUCCAUAAAUCGCUUUCUAAAUGGAGUUAUGAGCAAUUUUUGUUAUUUUUCCUUAAUUUUUGGGUUUUGUUUUUGGGUUUGUAUUUGGCCCAUGGACUUUUAGGGUUUCAUUUUAAUUUCUGCUUCUUAUUUAACUGUUUUUGAUGUAAUUUGGAUGGUCAAUGAUCAAUUUUAUGAACUUUCGAUUUUCUCCCAAAUUUUGUGUGUUAACCUAGAUUUUGAAGCCAAUCCCACGGUAUUCGUAGAAUCAACGUGGUUUUGAAGAGAUUGUCCUGGCUAUUCUUUUAGAAUCAACAUGUUCAUUCUUGGUUAUCUUUGUGUUGUUUUUUUGCGCUGCAUCAAUAUGUGACAUGUGUUUAUUGUGUUUUGAAAUGAAAAUUUUGUUUGAAAAUUUACGGUGGUACAAAUUAGUAUAUAGCCUUGGUUUAAGGGAUUUGGAUGCACUUUCGGGUAUGUCUGGACUCAAACUGAGGAUUUAAGAUAAGUUUUCAAAAGAAAAGAUUUUUCUGAAAUGAGUACGAUUUUCUAAGAGAAAGACGAGAAGAAGCAGCGUGUACAAUGAACCAGAGCCCGAACGGUGAUUUCCCAAAAUACCCUUACUUAUGUGUUUGUGUUAUGAGCUCUUAUUGAGAUAUUAGUGAAGCAUGCUAGAAGAUAGGCUAUGCAUUUCAUAUAUUAGGGCUAGAGGUGCCUGAUUUGUGAUGCCUUAUCCUAGGGGUUAUUGCUAUCUGUUAUGUCCCUUGAGUAUGUGUUGAGUAAGAGUAUCUAGCAGCAAUCACUUAGAGAGGGAGUUCUGAGUCAAGAGAUAAUCUAGGAGAGAUACCUAGAUGAGACUUGAGGAGUCUACUAAGACGAGUAAUUAGAUACAAUGAGAUGUGAGAUAGCAUGAGUUCCAUCAUGCCUACUAAGAGCAAGUAGGGCAAAUAGAGUUGUAACCUAGAGUGGUUUUACGUGUUGGUAGAGAUUAUUCGAUGCUUGAACGCUGCUUUCUUUGUGCUUUGUCGAACUCUUCAUGAUGGGAGUCAGCUACUAAGUGAAUAUGAUGAUAUUCAUGAGGUAGAUGGUUGGCAUUAUAAAGAGUUCUUCAGCAGCUGGUGGCAUGUAAGUGUGAGAACCUAGGAAGAGCCUACGAGGGGUGUCUGUGGUCAGAAGAGUAUGCUGAUAGAGGAGAAUAUUCGCUGGGUAGCGACCAAGUAUAUCAGGAUUGGUUAUCGAGAAUGGUUGAGCAGCUAUUUCGGAAAUCUGAGACGAUUCGUGUGGAAAGUAUGGGUAGAUGUAGUAGGUAGUAUGGGCCCGUACUACUGAAAGUAGAGGACCCAUACUCGAAACAUGGAGAGUUCCAGAGGUUCUAAGUAGCAAAUUGAGAGGUGAUAACAUGGUUCGAAUACCAUGAUUCGCGGCAGAUUGAAAGGUGAUAACAUGGUUCGGGUACCAUGAUUCGUGGCAGAUUAAGAGGUGAUAAUAUGGUUCGAGUACCAUGGUUCGUGGCGAUUAGUGCUUCAGAUUUUAUCACUUAUCUCGUUGUGAUUGAUCAAACUGAGAGCAUAUAUGAUAGAGUGUGGGGCCAGAGGGCCAUGUCGAACUAGUUUCAAUAGAGCAUACCUUGAGAGGGAAAUCGAUUUAUUUUACCAGAGAUUUUUCGUCAGACGCCAGUAGAGUUGCAAGACUCAGGGAUGAGUAUAGCUGAUGCUUACCAGAGGAUCACGGUCUGAGUUGAGCAAUCAACCGAUAUAUGAGGCAUCACCUUCUGUGACAAGUGUUGCGUUGUCCCUGUUUCGUGGGAGAAGCAAAAGAGAUAGCGAGCUUCCGGUUUCAGAAUUUGGAGGCAAACCCCGUGGGUAGCAUAGGUGUGACAAUCGUCAAAAUUUGAGUAAGUUCUGGAUUUGAUAAACUUAGUUGCACGUGUAGGCACGACACAUACUAGACUUACUAACUAGAUGCUAAGUUAUAACCUAAUAAAAACUAGGAAACAAUUAGAAACGAUGGUCAGUGUACUUAGAUUUCACAUUAUUAUUUGAAUUCUAUAACUACUUAACUAUACAGACUAUCCAUAUUCGGUUCACUUUUUGACUCGAACACCUUUUCAUUAAUCAUACACACACAUUAUGCACUUGACGUAGUAGUAUAAAUUAGGUCGGAGUCUCGUGGAACUUAAGUCAAAGUUGAAACUAUGACUAGUAGACUUUGUUCUUCAAGAUCACUUGAAUCUCAGAACCACUACAUAGAAUGCCAAUAAAUUGAUAAAAUAAGUUUAAAACAUUAUUUAUAACUAUCAAAGAGUUAUAAUACCAUAAGAUAAAUUGAAGUCUCAAAGAUUCUAUUGAUUUUAAUAUCCAAAGAUUUACAAACUCUCAAAAACCCUAAAUGCCCUAAAAACUCAUAUUUAUAAACUUUAACCUUAUAAAUUCUAUAAAAAUAAUUAUGAACCUUAUCAUAUUAUAUUAUAAUAAUUCAAAUUAUGAAAAUACAAUCAAGUAAAAUAAAAAUUGAACUCAUUAACAUUUACCAUUAGAUUAAAAAUAAAAAAUAAAGGUUUUAUGAAUAAAAUCUUGAUUUUUGUGUAUAUUUUAUAAAAGUUUGAUAUUUAUAUAAAAAUUGAGAUAUUUUAUAAAAGAAACUGAAUUUUAUAAAACUUGAAGAGGGAGGGAGUCUCUCUCCUCCUCAAAAUCGUCCCCGUCUUCAAGAGAGCAAUUCAUCAUUUGUUCUUUCGCACACUCUUCUCCCAUCUCUCUCAUUUCUCUCUCUCACACACACCUCCACAUUUUCUCUCUCCUUCACCCUAACCCAUGAAUUUUGGCAGCAAAGUUCAUCCAUUUCAACUCAAAAACAUCAACAUUUGAAGUUGUUCAUGAGGUAAAACAAAAAUCCUUCAUUCCCCCUUCAAUCUUCCUUCAAAAUCCCAAGUUUUCUUACAUAUCUUCUUCUUCUACAACAUUCUAUAGAUGGAUUAUGAAUCAUUUGUUCAUAACAACGAUUUUUUGAUGAUGGUGGUAGUAUUUCACCCAAAAACCAACAUGCAUGUGAUGAUCUUCAAGCUUACAGGCUUGAUCAUCAAAGUAUGUUGUUAAAAAGAUUUCAAAUAUGUCAUAAAAUAUUUAUUCACAAAUAAAUAUCAAAACCUUCUUUCUGAUCAAAAUCGAUUUUUUCCAGAAUCUAGACAACAAAACAUGAUGAUCUGGAAAUUUUCAGAAAGUAAUUCAUUUUUCUCAAAUAUUAUAAUUAUUGCAAUAAAAUAGGGAAAUAAAUCAUAUAAAAUAUUUCUGAAGUCUAUAAAUCCUAGGUAAAUUCAUCGAUGACCCUAAAUUAAAUGAUGACAUCUCUGUGAGUUUCAUCGAUUUUAGUUAUUGUUUGGUAUGGUUUUGAAUUUUCUUUUUGUUUAAUUCAAAUAAAUCAUAAAACCACUUUAGGGAAGUAGAAAAGGCAAUCUUAGAUUUUUCGCAGAUUCUUCCUCAUGUGGAGAACUCGGGAAAAUUUGUUCACAAUUUUUCAUAAUGUAUGCCUGUUUUUCCCCGAUUUUUGUAUUUAUGAUGGACUAAUAAUGGGACAAAUAGUUCUACUAAUCCAAAGCUCAUGAAAAUUUACCAGAAGACCUUCUAAUAAAUUAGAACACUAAAUAAAAAUUUGGAUGACUUUUCUAUUCGGUAUGCUAUUUUUUUUUCUAUUUUAUAAGUUUAAAUACACUUAAAUCAACAAAAUCGGAUUACAUUAUAUAAAAAUCACCAUUGUUAUUUGUCCCAGAUUAUGUACAUUGUACAUGAAGUUUACAAAACUUUUGGUAAUUUAAUUUAACUAUUUGAUAAUUAUUCACCAAUUAAUGAUUAUUUAAGAGAAUAAAACAAUGAAAAAUAGCAAAAUUAAUUGAAAUAUAUAUUUUAUAUUUGUCACAGCUUAUAUGUGUAUAAUAACAGUGUUACAAAAAUUCUGGGCCAUUUUGGAAACUGUAUUCUAUUUAUUUCCAUAUUUGUUAGAGUAAAUGCACAAAAAAUCAUAAACUCAGGUUAAACUAUUUAGAAACCUGUUUUUAUAUUUUUCCCAGCUUAUGUAUAUUUAUGAACAAUAUUAUUAAAAGUUUGGAAAUUUUUAUCAUCUUGAUACUAUUUUUCACGAAUUUAUGUUGGUAUGAAGGCAUUGAAAUUUGGAAAAAUACCUAAUAAGAUUCAAAAUUCAAGGUAAAUUUUCUAGAAGACCUCUACUGUAUUUGGAACAAAAAUGUAAAGUUUGAUGAAUUUUGGAAACUCUUUGAUAAUACUUUUGGAUUUUUAGGAGUUUAAAACACCUUUAAAUGUGUUGAAAUACCCUCAAUUAAUAUUACAAAAACAUGGAAAAUAAUAUCCAUAAUUAUCUUAAUCACAUAAGUUAUAAAAUAUCACCAUUUCAGAAAAAUGUUUGUAACUUAUCAAUAUUAAAUUUUGACACAAUAUUGGCAUAAUUGUAUUGUACUAGCAAGUAUACUAGUGUUAAAUUUCGAUUAGAGGCACACUAGUGUGUACCAUUAUUAUAAGAUUUAGUAGUGGUACAAGCGGAACUUAGAUCAAGACAUCAUUUGCAUCAUCUCAAUGCAUUGUGAGUAUUCAUGACUCCCUUAUUUUCAGUUUUUAAAAUUUUUUAAGUGGAAAAGCAUGUCCUAAGCUAUUUAUGUUCAUUGUAUCUAUUUGACUCGUGUAAACUUGGUUGCUAUAUUUUGCAUGUUGUGAGUAUUCACAACUCCCCCUAUGUUCGAUUUUUAUGUUUUGGGGUAAAAAAACAUGUCCGAAAAGCUAUAUAUUGUUCAUUGUAUUUAAAUUGAUUUGUAUCAAACUUGAUUGCUAUAUUUUGCAAUAUCUCUCUGUGUAUGUCUAUGCAACACGAAACAUGAGGUCUUAUCAUCUUAUGUCCCUUCCAUUUACACUUUGUUCCAACCAUUAACUCUUUGAGCCAAUGGUCAUUAUGGAUAGCGUUAUUAGGAAUUAACAACUCCUUCCACACCCGAUUGAUUGAGUGCAUGAUACCAUAUAAUCUAUCGAACGAUAAGCAUAGAUCUUGAUAGGGCAGCUGUCAUAGGCUUGGUUGCGAACUCAUUGUUUGCUCGUACACAUACAAACUCACUUAUUAAUUAUAGCAAUGAACUUUGUUUCUCAUUAUAGUAAUGAACUUUGUUUCUCAUUAUAGCAAUAAACUUUGUUUCUCAUUAUAAAAACGAACUUUUGUUACUAGAAACUUAUUUACUUGUCUUCUUAACGAAAUUUGUUUAUGCAAACUUAUUUACUCAUUUUUGCAAUAUAUUUCUAUUUAUGGAAACUCUAUUUCCCUUGAGAAUAUGAACGUUGCAUCUCAUUUGGGCAACAUACUUUAUCUCUCAUGAUGACAACGAACUUUGUUUUUGCAAACUUAUUUACUCAUUUUGCAAUAUAUUUCUAUUUAUGGAAACUUUAUUUCCCAUGAGAAUAUCAAUGUUGCAUCUUAUUUGGGCAACAUACUUUAUCUCUAAUGAUGAAAAUGAACUUUGUUUAUGCAAACUUGUUUACUCAUUUUUGCAAUAUAUUUCUAUCUGGAAACUUUAUUACUCGCUUUAGCAACAAACUUCUUUUCAUGAAAACUUAUUUACUUAUUUUAGAAAUGAACAUUGUUUAUGGAAAUUGUUAUCAAUAUUCUGAUUAUCAUGAUUUCAAACUAUAUUAUGUUAUAAACUUGUGACUACUCACCAACUAUUUUUGUAGCUAACGCUCAUUUAAAUGCUUUUUCAGGAAUCAUCGAGUAAGUGGCACUUAGGGACACUUCACUUUUAGGAGCAUUCUUAUGUGUUGUAUUUCAAUUUACAUUGUAAAUUUGUAAUGAUUUUUAAAACUAUGGUUGGUGUUGUCUUUUAACUUUAUCUAUGAAACCCUUUGUACUGCCAUGCCUCGUGUUUCCGCUUUAGUGGGGUGUGACAAUAGGAUUGCAACAUUUCUGUCACACCCCCAAACGGGAACGACCGAAACGUUCGGGGGUGGAUGGCGUCAUAUGUAGUAUCACAACCAUUGCAUCAUAGUAAUCACAGUAAACACGACCAUUACAUUGAUUAUACAUAAUAAGAGAGUUUACAUAUGUUUGUUUCUUAUUUUCACAUAUCAAAAGUAGUAAAAGAAAUAGAUGUGACUCUAUACACUUCGUCUUCUCAAAACUCCAAGAAGUACCUGUCUACUGAUUUCCUGAGAAUACAAGAAGUUUUGAAAGAGUAUCAACAUAAAGCUGGUGAGUCCAUACACGAUGUUUUUGUAAUGAAGACCUGUUGAUGAAUCUGUGAAAAUAUCCGUAUGUUUCCAAGAAAAUCCAAUAUUUUCUUUAGUAAAAGCAUGAUAAUACUUGUUCCUUCUAUUACCACUUAGUUCAUACUAGUCACAUAUACACCAAUAUCAAACAGACAGUGGAUUAUAUGAAACUGCCCUAUGCCCACAACCAGACAAUGAAUACGAAAUGAGGCAGAAACCACACACUCCACAGUCUAUCGAGUACUCUUCAUACGUAACCCUGAUGCAUAAACUAAGGGGUUAUAGAACUAACUAUGUAUGUUUGUUACUGUAUCCUUUGUAGUAUAUGAAACAUAUUAGUCUGUAUGCUUGGUUAAUACUAGUAUGUAUAGAAUGUUAUGUUUGAAAAUCCUGGCUACCACCAGUAUGUAUAGUUUGUUUUUUUAUUUAAAUGAAAACUGAGUUGUGUAUCUCUGAAAUCCUCCAGUGUAAUGUAUAAUAGUUCUAUUAAUGAAAAUAAAACUAAUGAAGAAUGAAAUUCCAUAAAUAAAAGUUAGUUUAUACUAUUGUGAGUGGUAUAACCAUGCUUGAUAUGACCUAGUGACAUUUAUGGCAUUCUUUAAGUGUCGGAUAAAUGACAUUUGUCACCCCAGACAUGUCUGCUUAGCUGUAGCUAGCAGUUUAGGAGUGGGAUUGUCAGUGCCGAAUAACUCUAUUCACAAAUCUCAUGCUCUCCCUCCAAGAGACUCUGGUUAUACUAUAAUAUGAUUUAAUUCAGUACACCUAAUGGUAUAGAUUUGAAGUAGAGUCUCAUAAUUUUGUAUUAACUAGUUUUCAUGUAGUAUUGUCCUCUGUAUUUGAAUCUGUGUGUACAUUGUAUAGGUAACAAUUAUACUUAAAUAAUUAUUAAUUUUUGUACUCUUAUAGUAAUGUAUAUCAUAAAUUAAAUCUGUCAAAGUUUGUAUGCUUAGCAAUGUAUAACUCUGAAUUCAUAAAACUGUGUAUUGAAAACCCCAAACUGUACCUAUUAUGGUUUGUAUGUAUAUUGUGUACUUGGUUCGUAUAUUAAUCUGAAAACUAUGUAAUUUUUAGUUGUAUGUGGAAAAUGUCCCUUAUGCUCAACAUGUUACAAAAGUGAUAAAAUAUCUAAAUAUUUUAUAAAACGUGGAAAUCAUUUGUUAGUAUCAAUUGCAUAAGUUUAAAAACUUGUUAACAUCCUUUUGUUUUGAUUCACAAAAUCAUUUGUGUUUGGCUUGUAUUCCCCAUUGAAAACAUUUAAAUACCAUAAAAUCGUAGGGCCAUGAACUCUUUGUUAGCUGUAUACAAGUGUCGAAUCAACGGACUGAAUGAAGACCCUCGAGUUGUAGUGUGUGUCACUCAACUGAAUCCUAAUAACAAUUAAAUACAUAAAUGUAUAUAAAUUAGCGAUUUUAUUAGAUAAAGUGUUACGAAAACACUUGUUUUCGAUUAAGGAAUGUUACCAGGACUUGAUUGAAUCGAGGAGAGUGGGUUUUCAACCUAAUUCACUGCUUAAGAAGUGUGUAAGGCCGUGAACGGGGUGUAUGGCCGUGAACAUGAUGUACGGCCGUAGACUGCCUCUCGAAGGGUAUACGGCCUUUGAAGGUGUAUGGUAGUGAACCGUAUACGGUCAAUGACCUUGAAGGUAUACGACCGUAUAGUCAAGAACAGGAGUGUUAGAUUCAAUGAAAAAACGUGUCCUAGAUGCUCUGAAAUGAACCUCCAAUGGUGUUUUUCGAUGUUUUAUAGAAGAGUAAAGGUGCUUUAGGGGUGUACGGUCAAGAGUCUAGAGAAAGAACGAGAGAGUGUCCGGUUAGAAAAGUGUAAAUGAAUGGUGGGGGUCUCGUAUUUAUAGGGGUCGUCGUUGGUUGAUGGUGGGGUCCACCCAAUAUUGGCCGUAAAUGAGUGUACGACCUGUUGGGAUUAUUAUGUUGCGUCGUGGGCUCGGUCCUUAGCCCAGUUUUGAUUGUCGGUAUUGGGCCUGUCCAACCGUGCAUGUUUUUGUUCUAGGGUUUAGUAUAUAAGCUGCAUGCAUGCAGUCUUAGGGGUUAACGCUUUUAUCAUUUUCUCUCAAAGAUUUUUCUAAACCCUAGCUCACCUCUACAAUGGAAGUUCUUUGUCGAGCUCUGCUGAGGCGUGAUUUUAUUGAAUCAUAAGCACAUACUUGAUUCUAUUCUGUGUUCAUAAUCUUACUGUGUUUGUCUUGUUUGAUUUUCAUAUUCUUAUCUUUGAAAGAUCAAAUCGAUCUAGAGUUUUAUUCUCAUCAAUUGGUAUUAGAGCAGGAGACUGUGAAAUUCAUACACAUCUCUUCUGUCGAAGAAGUUAUUAGAGUUUUUAAUUCCGCAUUAUUUGAUAUUAAUUGAGCCGUCAUUCCAUAUUGACGUAUCUCAUUAAUCGUUGAUCUAACCCUAACGAUAUAUUACAGGUCUGAUCUUUUAAAGGUAAUCAAUCAAAAAUCAUUACAAUGUCCAUUUAUGAUUCACAAACCAAUCCAAUCAACAUCUCCAGCAGCAUUGGUUCUAUGACAAGGAUUCAAUCUUGUAUACUCAAGACUAUCAAGUUUGGACACAUCACUUUGAAGAUUAUGUGAUUGGAUCGGAGGAUAAUGGAUACUUGAUCUGGGAAGCGAUCACUGUUAGCCCGUUUGCUCACUCAAGCACCUCAAAGAUUGUCAAAACUCAGAAGGAGUACAAUCAGCUUGUUAACGAUGUCAAAGAUAUUCCUCAGGACGAGAAGGAAAAGUUUCAAUGCAGCAUCAAGGCCUUCAGGAUUAUAAGGUUUGCUUUGCUGUCAGAUACGUUUCGUUUGGUAAGUUCUUGUGCCACUGCUAAAGAGAUUUGGGACAGAUUCAAAGAAUUGUAUUCCACUGAUGAAGACGCAGAACAUUCAAUUCUAACUCCCUUGCUCUCUUAAUUUGGAGAUUUCAAGCAGAAGCCCGAAGAGAAACUAGUUCAAGCCUUUGAUCGCUUUAAUCAUCUUUUAAGCAAAAUGAUAAAGCAUGGGAUUGAAAGGAAUGUUAUUGAACAAAAGGUUACUUUCAUGAACGGUCUUAGAUCUGAAUGGAUGGCUGUUGUAUCUACCGUUAAAGCUCAUGAACAGUUCAAGUCGUAUUCUUUGGACAAACUAGCAGGUAUUUUGAAAUCCCAUGAAAGUGCACUAUCUAAGGAAACGAGUGUGGUUUCCAGUUUGGGUUCUUUAGCCCUUGUCUCUAAAGGAAAAAAUCAGUUGAAGAAGAAAAGGAAUUAGAUAUUGCCAAUUAUGGUAUAACUGAUGAAGAAUAUGCCAUGAUGGUAUCCAAUCCCAGAAAAAACAUUAAGAAGAAAUUCCCAGCCAACAAGAACCGAAACUGGUAGGGAAGUUACAGUGCCAAAAAGAUCAAGGAGGAACCAAAGAUGGGGUCGAAGUCUGAAGAGUCAAAGAAAGAAGGGAAAGUUGGUGGAGACUCCGGAUUUGAUUGCCAUUACUGUGGAGGCAAGAACCAUUUUGUAAAAGAUUGUAUGCUGAAAAAGAAAGAAGAAAAGAUAAAUGAUGACGAUGAGGAAGCGAGCCUCCUGAGAAUACUGGAGGAAAUCAAGAAAAGAAUGUCUGCUGCUAACAAUACUAAUAUGAAUGCUUUAAUUGUGCAGGAUGCAGACAACCGUGGUGAAUUUGCUGGUGUGGAAGUAUGGUCCACAGAUUCAGAGGAUGAAGAAGUCAGAAAGCCCACUCAUGGGAAGGCGAUGCUGGCAAAAGAAGAACCUGUAACAGGAAGCUGCUUUGUGGUGACCGAAAGGGUGUCUCGAUUGAGAAGAUAUACAACUGACGGGGGAAUAGAAGACGAUAAGGAGCGAGAGAAAUCGACGAAUGUGAUGAGUUGAUCAAGAAGGUACAAAAUAUUUUUGCUUCCCUAAAUAUACCUGUUACUAAGUACGAAAAGAAAUUAAAUAACUUAAAAUCUAAAUUUUCAAGCAUAAGUAGCAGUCUCACCCAAACGCGCGUCACAAAUUCUAACCUAACUGAUCAAAUCAGCAGGAUAUUGUCGAAGAUUGAGGAAAGGAGGAUGUGGAUAGAGUAGAAGGAGAAAGAGUUUAUUAAGUCUAAAGAUGAUUCGAUUUAUUUACAAAGAGACAAUCUUAAACUUCUUAAACAACGAAAUGUGUUUUGUUUGAUUGCUAAAAGACUUUAUUUUAACAUCACUCAGUUGCAUCUUGAUUGUGAAAUAGGAAAGAAGAUACAGCGCAUGAUUUUACCCUUCCUUGAGUUAAAGGAGGAUGAAAUCGAUGCUGAAGCCUACAACUGUGAAAGCAUUGUAUCUUCUGACCAGGUCUCUCCUGCAUAUAAAAUAGGUCUGGACAAAAUUGAAUCCUACAUUAAGUCCAAAGACCAAAAGGACAUGCUUAAAAAUUUGUUCGACGAGAAUGAUAUAUUGAAAUUAAGAACUGAAACUGUACAUAAAUUUCACUCUUUGAAUACCAAAUUAAGUUCAGAAAAUAAAAUUGAUGUUGAAAAUGCAUCUGAACUUAAUGAGGAUGAUGAUCUGAGUGAAAUCUUUGUAGAGGAUGUCAUUGACUGUUCAGAAUUUGUCAAAAGCGAUCCUAAAUCACGCAAAAACAUGAUUUCUGAAAACUCUGUUGAGUUCGCUCGCUCGUCAACUGACAAGACCAAAGUUAUCAAAGCGAAAGUUGUUGUGUACCAAAAGGUACAAACCACUCUAAAUCAAGUCUACACGGUCCCUGGUGUCACUCCACAACAAAUUGCGGAAUUGACAGCUAUGGUGGAAUAAGAUAAUGCUGGCGGAUGUGACGAGUUCUUCUGGUCAGCACCAAUAGACAACGCUAAUGAGACGAAGGGCCAAUCUCAGAAGACCUCAUGGAGAGUGAAAGGUAGAUAUACACCCGAACCACUAAAUGAGCCUGAAAAAUAUGAUGUGCGAAGCACAAGUGGAACCAAAACUUCAUUGGGCGAACCUGUGGAAACCACUAGUGAAACAUCCUCAGCAAAAAGUGAAUGUUGUGCUAAUGCUUCAAAGAGAAAGGAGACCAUCAACAGAAAUCCAAAACAGGUGGCUGAUCGAAAACACCAAAGAAAUCUGAGAUACAAGAAGAAUCUCUUAGAAAAGAAAAUAGUUUUGGAGAUCGCAAAAUCCUCACUUUGUAAGGAUAGACAGAAAUCACAAAUCGCAAGAGGAAUCAAGGAACCGAAAGGAAAGUUUUGGUCCCACGACCGAAAUGCACCGAAAGGGUAGUUUCGGAGCCUCAACAUAAAGGAACCGAAAGGAUGGUUUCGGUCCAUCUACCGAAAGGAAACGAAAGGAGAGUUUCGGUCCCUCGACCGAAUGGAACCGAAAGGAGAGUUUCGAUCAUUGAAGCAAUAUCAACCGAAAAAGAGGUAUCGACUCUCAACCCAACAGCAACCAAAAGAGCAGUUUGGGUCCCCAUCCCUACAAGUCCAAUCAGAAACACAGGAGAUCCAAUGCCACUUCUGAAUCAAACACUUCACAUUCCAAUUCUUGUCCUUCAAUUUAUUUAAAGGGAAAAGGAAAACUCUUUCCAGAAGAUAACAGACUUCCAUAGGAGAUCCAAAAGAAUGCUGACGUCAACACCACAAACCCCAAUCCUACUAAACCAACCAAAAUUAAAGUUUUCACCAUAAAAAGAAAAGAUGAAACAACUUUAAUUAAACGCACAUACUUAGUUGAUAUUUGUCUUACUAUUCCCUGUCCUGUAAAAGGCUCACAAGGACCCAAGAAACUUUGGGUUCCUAAAUCUGCUUAAUAUUUUGCAGGUUAUACGUGACCAGUAGUUUGAUAAUGGUACAUUGAUAGUUGCUACUCGCGUCACAUGACUGGGAGCAAGGAAGAACCGAGGGAGUUUCGGUCUCUCAAGGAUUUUGGUAUUGUGAAGUACGACAAUAACUCAUUUGGUACUAUCAAAGGCUAUGGAAUGAUCACUAAUGGCGAUUUCUCUAUAAGAAAAGUGGCGUAUGUUGAAGGGCUCCAACACAACCUUAUCAGCGUUUCACAGAUGGUAGUUGGCAAUGGAUUGAAGGUAUCAUUUGAUGAUGAAGGAUCAGAGAUUGUCGAGAAGAAAUCCAACAACGUUUUGCUAAAGUCAAAGCGAAAAGGCGAAAUGUAUCCUUUGAACCUCAACCCAAUUCGAGGUAAACCAGUAGUUUGCUUACUUACGAAGGCUCACUCAGACGAAAGUUGGUUAUGGCAUCGGAGACUUUCUCAUCUGAAUUUCAAGGAUAUCAACAAGUUGGUUUUAGGUGAUCAUGUUCUGGUCUUCCAAUUCUAAAAUUUGACAAAGAACAUCUAUGUGCUGCCUGUGAAAUGGCAAAGCAAAGCAGGCAAAGCCAUCCUUCUAUUAUCAAUACAAAAGUGAUAGAACCAUUAGAGCUGUUACAUAUUGACUUGUGUGGACCCUCGUCCAUUGAAAAUAUCUAUGGAAACAAGUACAUUCUUGUUAUAGUGGACGAUUUUUCUCGAUUUACAUGGGUAUUCUUCUUGAAGAAAAAGUCUGAAGCUACUCCAAAGCUUAAGCGCUUUAUAAAAUAGAUAGAGACUCAACUAAGGAAAGUCGUUCGUAAUGUGAGAAGUGACAAUGGCUUGAAUUCAAGAACAUAGAUUUUGAAGAUUUUCUUGCUGAAAAGGGAACGACUCACAUUUUCUCAGCCCAUUACACUCCACAGCAAAAUGGUAUCGAUGAAAUACGAAACCGAUCUCUAUGUGAAGCAGCUCGAACAAUGCUAUGCUUCGCGUCCUUGCCUUUGUAUUUCUGGGCUGAUGCAAUUGCUGUUGCAUGUUAUACUCAGAACAAAUCAUAUUUGAACAAGCGAUUCUCCAUUACUCCUUAAGAGAUUUUGAAUAAACAUAAACUNUGAUGCAAUUGCUGUUGCAUGUUAUACUCAGAACAAAUCAUAUUUGAGCAAGCGAUUCUCCAUUACUCCUUAAGAGAUUUUGAAUAAACAUAAACCGAAUGUGAAAGUCUUUCAUGUGUUCGGUUCAAGAUGCUUCAUCUUCAACUCCGGAGAGAAUCAAAAUAAGUUUGAUGCUAAGGCUGAUGAAGGAAUAUUCUUAGGUUACUCCCUGAAUUCCAAGGCGUAUAGAGUUCUCAAUAAGAGCUCAAAGAAGAUUGAGGAAACAUACUAUGUCACCUUUGACGAUAGUUAUGUUAAGAAGAUGAAAUCAACAGAAGGUGCAACGCAAGAAAUCUUUCCAAAGAAUGGUCAAGUUAUUACCUCUAUUUCAAAUCUUUUCAAGAAAUAUUUGCUUCUGUUUGAUGAGCCUCAAAAACCGAUUGAUUCUGAAUCAACGGCAAAAGAUAACAAACAUGAUGAUCUAAAACAAAUCAUCGAUGAUGCUGCUGAAAAGAUGGCUGAUGAUCAACCCAAAGAAACCGAAAGGCCAGAGGCAAGCGAACCUUCGAAUGAUCAUCCUAAUGUCCAGGGGGUGGGUCCAUCUCUUCAUCAUGAUCAAGGUUCAUCGUUCCACGGGAGAGCUUAUCGUCUCAUUCUUCUAGUUCUUCUGAGAAUCCAAUUGAAGGAGGGGAUACCAAUCCAGGUACUGAACAAGCGUCAUCCUUCGAGGGGGAGNCGAGAUAAAUUCCAUGAAGUGAUACAAGUGAGCAUGGGUUUAUACCAAUACUCAUAACUUAUGAGUACUCAUGAAUGUUGCAGCAACCAUUGCCAUUUCUAAACACCUUUAGCCAUCUACAAACCCAAUCAGAAACACAGGAGAUCCAAUGCCACUUCUGAAUCAAACACUUCACAUUCCAAUUCUUGUCCUUCAAUUUAUUUAAAGGGAAAAGGAAAACUCUUUCCAGAAGAUAACAGACUUCCAUAAGAGAUCCAAAAGAAUGCUGACGUCAACACCACAAACCCCAAUCCUACUAAACCAACCAAAAUUAAAGUUUUCACCAUAAAAAGAAAAGAUGAAACAACUUUAAUUAAACGCACAUACUUAGUUGAUAUUUGUCUUACUAUUCCCUGUCCUGUAAAAGGCUCACAAGGACCCAAGAAACUUUGGGUUCCUAAAUCUGCUUAAUAUUUUGCAGGUUAUACGUGACCAGUAGUUUGAUAAUGGUACAUUGAUAGUUGCUACUCGCGUCACAUGACUGGGAGCAAGGAAGAACCGAGGGAGUUUCGGUCUCUCAAGGAUUUUGGUAUUGUGAAGUACGACAAUAACUCAUUUGGUACUAUCAAAGGCUAUGGAAUGAUCACUAAUGGCGAUUUCUCUAUAAGAAAAGUGGCGUAUGUUGAAGGGCUCCAACACAACCUUAUCAGCGUUUCACAGAUGGUAGUUGGCAAUGGAUUGAAGGUAUCAUUUGAUGAUGAAGGAUCAGAGAUUGUCGAGAAGAAAUCCAACAACGUUUUGCUAAAGUCAAAGCGAAAAGGCGAAAUGUAUCCUUUGAACCUCAACCCAAUUCGAGGUAAACCAGUAGUUUGCUUACUUACGAAGGCUCACUCAGACGAAAGUUGGUUAUGGCAUCGGAGACUUUCUCAUCUGAAUUUCAAGGAUAUCAACAAGUUGGUUUUAGGUGAUCAUGUUCUGGUCUUCCAAUUCUAAAAUUUGACAAAGAACAUCUAUGUGCUGCCUGUGAAAUGGCAAAGCAAAGCAGGCAAAGCCAUCCUUCUAUUAUCAAUACAAAAGUGAUAGAACCAUUAGAGCUGUUACAUAUUGACUUGUGUGGACCCUCGUCCAUUGAAAAUAUCUAUGGAAACAAGUACAUUCUUGUUAUAGUGGACGAUUUUUCUCGAUUUACAUGGGUAUUCUUCUUGAAGAAAAAGUCUGAAGCUACUCCAAAGCUUAAGCGCUUUAUAAAAUAGAUAGAGACUCAACUAAGGAAAGUCGUUCGUAAUGUGAGAAGUGACAAUGGCUUGAAUUCAAGAACAUAGAUUUUGAAGAUUUUCUUGCUGAAAAGGGAACGACUCACAUUUUCUCAGCCCAUUACACUCCACAGCAAAAUGGUAUCGAUGAAAUACGAAACCGAUCUCUAUGUGAAGCAGCUCGAACAAUGCUAUGCUUCGCGUCCUUGCCUUUGUAUUUCUGGGCUGAUGCAAUUGCUGUUGCAUGUUAUACUCAGAACAAAUCAUAUUUGAACAAGCGAUUCUCCAUUACUCCUUAAGAGAUUUUGAAUAAACAUAAACUGAAUGUGAAAGUCUUUCAUGUGUUCGGUUCAAGAUGCUUCAUCUUCAACUCCGGAGAGAAUCAAAAUAAGCUUGAUGCUAAGGCUGAUGAAGGAAUAUUCUUAGGUUACUCCCUGAAUUCCAAGGCGUAUAGAGUUCUCAAUAAGAGCUCAAAGAAGAUUGAAGAAACAUACUAUGUCACCUUUGACGAUAGUUAUGUUAAGAAGAUGAAAUCAACAGAAGGUGCAACGCAAGAAAUCUUUCCAAAGAAUGGUCAAGUUAUUACCUCUAUUUCAAAUCUUUUCAAGAAAUAUUUGCUUCUGUUUGAUGAGCCUCAAAAACCGAUUGAUUCUGAAUCAACGGCAAAAGAUAACAAACAUGAUGAUCUAAAACAAAUCAUCGAUGAUGCUGCUGAAAAGAUGGCUGAUGAUCAACCCAAAGAAACCGAAAGGCCAGAGGCAAGCGAACCUUCGAAUGAUCAUCCUAAUGUCCAGGGGGUGGGUCCAUCUCUUCAUCAUGAUCAAGGUUCAUCGUUCCACGGGAGAGCUUAUCGUCUCAUUCUUCUAGUUCUUCUGAGAAUCCAAUUGAAGGAGGGGAUACCAAUCCAGGUACUGAACAGGCGUCAUCCUUCGAGGGGGAGAACACCAUCAUCAAUGAUGAUGACAUACUGUCAGAAUUGGAAGAAGAAGUUAAUGCUGAAUUGGAUCCCAAUUGUGAUCCAAAUUACCCACUGCUUAUCAAAUGGACCAAAGAUCACCCUCAAAGUCAAAUUAUUGGGGAAUCUUCAGAAAAGGUGUUAACUCGAUCUCAAAUCAAAGCGAAACAAGCUGCACUCUUUUCACAAGUAGAGUUUUGCAUGUUCAACUCCUUUGUUUCCAAAGUUGAACCGAAGACCGUUAAUUAUGCACUUGAUCAUUCAGACUGGGUUCAAGCGAUGCAAGAUGAGUUAAAUGAGUUUGACAGAAACACAGUAUGGCAACUUAUUCCAACUCCAAAGGAUGCCUUGGUUGGUGGUCUCAAAUGGGUAGUUAGAAACAAGAUGGAUAAGGAGGGAAAUUUAAUUCGCAACAAAGCUUGGUUGGUUGUCAAAGGCUACUGUCAGGAAGAAGGCAUCGAUUAUGAAGAGUCCUUUGCUCCUGUUGCAAGAUUAGAGUCUGUUCAUAUCUUCCUUGCCAAUGCUGCACACACGAACUUUGAAGUCUAUCAGAUGGAUGUCAAAUGUGCCUUUCUCAAUGGAGAACUUGAAGAAACUGUGUAUGUUGAGCAACUACCAGGCUUCGUGAACAAGAAGUAUCCAGAUCAUUGUUAUGUCCUUGACAAAGAGGUAUAUGGCCUAAAACAGGCUCCCAGAGCAUGGUAUGAAACUCUAACUCGAUUCUUAAAAAUGUCUAAAUUCAAACAAGGUUCGGUUGACCCAACCUUCUUUCGCAAGAGAGAAGGUAACCAGCUUAUGAUAGUUCAAAUUUAUGUUGAUGACAUCAUCUUUCGCUCCAUGAAUCCUAGAUUAACAGCUGAAUUCAGGAAGUUGGUGGAAACUAAAUUUGAGAUGAGCUCAAUGUUGGGUUUUGAGCAAUCUAACACUUCCUAAGUGUGCAUGCAACCCUAAUAAACCUUGGAUCUAUGUUUGUCUAAUACAUGCAAAAUAAUAAUUUUUCCAAGGUUCAUAACUUAUCUAACAUGGCAUGGGGAACUUUUAAACAUAAAAGAGUUAGAUGAGAUUACAUACCUUUUGAUGAGAUUGAUUCCUUGGAGUUUGAGAGCCAAGCACCAAUAGUGUGAAUGCCUCAAAUGGAAAUCACAAAUCACCACAAACACUUGGAAACCUUUAGAGAGUGUACACACUCUUGUAAUUUUCGGCCACACACAAGCACACACACUAGUGGCUAUUUCAUGCAACAUAAGCAUGCUUAUAUAGUGUACAUGGUUAGGGUGAAACCCUAAUAACCCAUGACCUUUCCUUUUCCAAGGAUCCAUGGGUUAAAAGCUCCAUGGAUCAUCCAUGGACUUCCAUAUAAGCCUAGNCUGUAAAACUAAUAUCGUCCCUCAGCCCGAUGCGCCUCGCAUGCUGAAAAUGCUUAACCCUCAUCAGUCCCUUCAUAAGGGGAUCUGACGAUACCAUCUUUGCCACGAGGAGUCCUUCUUCAAUCCUAUGUCUUAUGAAGUGAUAUUUUAUGUCAAUGUGUCGGGAUCUGCCGUGAUCUCUUGGUUCCUUGGCUAAGGCAACCUCANUCUAUAGGUUCCUUAAUAGCUGGUACAACUCCAAGGUCUCCGAUGAAGUUCUUUAGCCAUAUCGCCUCCUUCGCUGCUUCACUCGCUGCUAUAUACUCUGAUUCACAAGUCGAAUCAGCCACCGUCUCCUGCUUGGAACUCUUCCAAGAAAUUGCCCCUCCAUUUAAGGUAAAGAUCCAGCCCGACUGAGAGCGGAAAUUAUCCCUAUCAGUCUGAAAACCAGCAUCACUAUACCCUAAUAUUCUCAAGUCAUCACUGCCACCAAGGGUAAGGACCCAAUCCUUAGUCCUCCGCAGGUACUUGAGAAUGUUCUUUACCGCGGUCCAAUGAGCCUUGCCAGGGUUCCCCUGAUACCUGCUGACCAUGCUCAAAGCAAAGGCCACAUCAGGGCGGGUACAAGUCAUAGCAUACAUGAUCGAGCCAACAGCGGAAGCAUACGGUAAUUGGCUCAUCUCAGCUAUCUCUGCCUCUGUACUCGGACUCUGAAUCUUACUCAGUUUGGCAUUGCUUUGGAUCGGUAAAUCUCCUUUCUUGGAAUUCUGCAUGUUGAACCUUUUCAACACCUUAUCCAAGUAGGUACACUAACUAAGUCCAAUUAGUCUUUUACUCCUUUCUCUUAGUAUCCAUAUCCCUAGGAUAUAGGCAGGCUCCCCUAGGUCCUUCAUAGCAAAGCACUUCCCAAGCCAGGACUUAACCUCCUGCAAGGUUGGGAUGUCAUUUCCUAUAAGUAGUAUGUCAUCCACAUACAGUACCAAGAAGCUAACUAUACUCCCACUAGCUCUGACAUACACGCAAGACUCAUCUUCACUUCUCGAGAAGCCAAACUCUUUGACCUUCUCAUCAAAACAAAGAUUCCAGCUACGAGAUGCUUGUUUUAAUCCAUAAAUGGAUUUCUCAAGCUUGCAUACUCUAUUAGGGUACUCUGCACUGACAAAACCCUCUGGCUGAUUCAUGUACACAUCCUCAGCCAACUUUCCAUUAAGGAAAGCGGUUUUGACAUCCAUUUGCCAUAUUUCAUAAUCAUGAAAUGCAGCAAUGGCUAGCAUAACCCUAAUAGACUUAAUCUUCGCUACCGGCGAGAAGGUUUCAUCAUAAUCAAUACCUUGAGUCUGAGUAAAACCCUUUGCAACCAGUCGAGCCUUAUAAGUAUGAACUUUUCCUUCCAUGUCGGUCUUCUUUUUGAAGAUCCAUUUGCACCUGACUGUUUUACGGCCUGGUACAUUGUCAACUAAGUUCUGCACUUGAUUGUCAUACAUGGACUGUAUCUCGCAGUCCAUAGCCUCCUUCCAUUUAGUAGACUUCGCGCCUACCAUGGCUUCCUUAACACUGCUAGGUUCAUCCAAAUUUACUAGUGUACUAUCGCUGAUAAACGUAUCACCUUCCGUAGUAAUAUGAAAGCCAUAAGAAAACGAAGGUGUGUUCCUAACCCGUGUGGAACGCCUCGGAGGUACAGACUUGUCAGCUUGCUCAACAGGAGUUUCCUCCUCAGGUUGAUUGCUAGUGUCUGAGGUUCCUUCACCAAUUGCUUCUUGAAUUUCUUCAAGAUCAAUUUGCCUCCCACUGUCUCCUUGGCUUAUAAAUUCUCUCUCACGAAAGACCCCUCUUCUUGCUACAAAGACCACAUUCUCACUGGGUCUGUAGAAGAGGUAACCGAAGGAUUUCUGUGGGUAGCCGAUGAAAAUACACCUUUCACUUCGGGGUUCGAGCUUAUCAUGAGUCUCACGCCUCACGAAAGCUUCGCAACCCCAAAUCUUGAUGUGGUCUAAAUUGGGAACCUUCCCAGUCCACAUCUCAUGAGGUGUUUUGGUAACCUUCUUUGUAGGGACUAGAUUAAGGAUAUGGGCGGCAGUCUCUAAGGCAUACCCCCAAAAAGAGAUUGGUAGCGAAACUCGACUCAUCAUAGAGCGAACCAUGUCCAACAAGGUUCGAUUACGCCUCUCAGCUACACCAUUCAGCUGUGGUGUCCUGGGAGGAGUCAAUUGUGAGACAAUCCCACACUCCUUAAGAUAGUCAAGGAACUCGGUACUAAGAUACUCACCACCUCGAUCGGAUCGAAGCAUCUUAAUGUUCCUGCCCAAUUGAUUUUCUACUUCCUGUUUGAAUUCCUUAAACCUUUCAAAGGUUUCGGACUUAUGUUUGAUUAAGUAGACAUACCCAUAUCUACUAAAAUCAUCAAUAAAAGUCACAUAAUACCGAUUAGCAUCCCUUGUGGCGGUUUUGAAUGGCCCACAUACAUCAGUAUGUAUUAGGUCCAACAAACCCUCACCCCUCUCACAAGUUCCAGUGAAGGGUGAUUUUGUCAUCUUUCCAAGUAGACAAGAUUCACAACUAUCAUCCGAUUUAAGGUCGAAUGAUUCCAAGACUCCACUCUUUUGGAGUUGGCCUAUGCGUUUCUUGUUUACAUGUCCAAGACGACAAUGCCACAAUGAUGCUUUAUCUAGGCUAGUAGAAGAAUCAAUAUACAACACAUUAUUUCCUAAGUUGUCUACAAUCGACACAGUUUCAUACACGCCAUCACAAGGUAAUGCUUUAAAAUAAAACACAUUAUUAAAGAAAGCAUUAAUACCACCACAUUCAUUAUCAAACGAAAAGGUAAAACCUUGUUUGUACAAAGCAUGAAAAGAAAUAAUAUUCCUCGCCAUUUCAGACGAGUAUACACAUUUAUUCAAAUCUAAUUUUAACCCAUUAUUAAGCAACAAAGUAUAAACUCCAAUCUUGGAAACAGGUGAAGCCUUCCUAUUCCCCAUGAUUAAGUUUAUCUUCCCGUGCUCCACAUCCUCACUUCUUCUUAGGCCCUGCAAAUCAGAACAUAUGUGAAUACCACAUCCUGUAUCAAGCACCCAAGAGUUAGAAUAUGUUGAGUAAUUAGACAAUAUAGUGUAAAUACCUGCAUAGGUGGGUUUCACUUUCCCAUCCUUUAGAUCCUGCAAGUACUUAGGGCAGUUUCGCUUCCAGUGUGCCUUUUCAUGGCAAUAAAAGCAUUCAGCAUCCUUUGGAAUGGCAGAAGGAGUGACAGAACCGUUCUUAGUCUUGGAUGAGGAGCCUUCAAGAGACUUUCCCUUGGUACCCUUCGAAGGGUGCUUCCUCUUUUUCCCUUUGCCUUGCCCAAUAGCUAAAACAGGGGUAGAAGUUGGAGUAGGAGUAGUAGAGGUAACAACCGCUUUACCCUUAAGACCGGUUUCAGCGGUCUUCAAGAGUCCUUGAAGCUUGCUGAGGGUAACUUCCUCCUUGUUCAUAUGAUAUGUCAUUCGAAAAUGAUCAUAACAAGAAGGCAAGGAGUGCAAAAUGAUGUCAAUUGCUAACUCCUCGGGGAUGUUAACAUUCAGCUUCAGCAAACGGUCCACAUACCUUUGCAUCUUUUGCAUGUGGCCCGUGACGGAUUCACCGUCCUUCAUGCGGGUAGUUAUUAUGGAGGAGAUUAUUUCAUACCGCUCCUGACGAGCACUCUGAUGGUACCUUUCCAUCAAGUCUUGGUGCAUCUCAAAAGGGUAGAAAUCUUCAUAUGACUUUUGGAGCUCGGCUGUCAUCGUGGCCAUCAUGAUACAUGCCACCUUAGUAGCAUCUCUCUCAUGUGUCCUGAAUUCAGCGAUCUCCUCAGGAGUAGCAGUAGACUCAUCAAGUUCUUUUAACUCCUUAUCGAGGACAUAUUCCUUGUCCUCAUAACGAGUAACCAUCCUGAUGUUCCUAAUCCAAUCCAUGAAGUUGGAACCAUCAAAGAUGACCCUCCCACAAAGAUUCAUGAGAGAGAAAGAACCAGUUGGGUUAGAGCCCGAAGCAUUAGUGUUGGAAGACAUCUGAAAGAAGAAAGCAAGUUUCGAUUGGAUAUAUAGAAUCCUUAAUAAGACACCCAAAUGUAAUAUUAAGGCUAGGAUCCAAACACAAUAUAUUAUACUUAGAGGAGGGAUGCCGUAAUCUAAGUAAUAAUAUAUUUGAAAUGUAGGUUUUGAGAUUCAUUGAACUUUUCAAUGGCAUGUUUCAAUCUCGAUUGUGCCCUUCAUGUUUUGUGANUGUUUCAAUCUCGAGUGUGCCCUCUCAAAUUUUGUGACUGGGAUGCCGAGGAUCACAAAACAAGGUGUGAAUAACCAUACCAAUUCACUUGGUACCCUUAAUAUUAUCACCUAAUCAAUGUGCCGGUUAACCACACACGCUCCAUUGAUCUAUGACAAACAUUAAGUCACCCUUUGUGAUCCUUACUAGUCCAAGUUAGUGUGCCGGUUAACCACACAUGCUCCACCAACGACUUGGUAAGGUACAAAGUGUGAAUUCCAUGGACCAGCACCAUGUUCACAUUUUGCUAAAAUAACUAAGAUUGGGAAUUAAAAGAGUUUAGUUAUUUUAUAAUAUUCAUUAUACUUUUAAUGAGGAUUUAAAGUCGUUGUUCUACCCGUUCGGCUAACGACCCUCCACCGAUCAAGCAAGCGGUGGGUGAGAGUAUACACCCAUUAAGUCGCCAUUUUAUAGGCAACAACCUUAUACCCACCUUAUAGACCGGCUUCGUGAAUGAGGCCUACUAACGGUAAAACGACUUAUUCUUAUACAUAUAUAUAAUAAUUAACCAUUAAUGUUAUAAAUAGUAUAAGGGUUGAAUUUUAACUAUUAAAACUCUAAGGUUUGGAAUUAAAGUUUAUUAAAGUGUGUGAAACUUUACAAAUUCCAAAACUUGAGGACAAGUUUUGUAACUUUGCAAAACUCUUCAUUUCAUAACUUAUGAAUUAAAGGUUCAUAAAAAUGAAGACUCUUCAUUUUCAUGUAACUUAUGUGUUUUAAGUGUGUGUUAAAUGAAAGUGACCUUUGGUAAUCCAUAACUUGAGGACAAAUUAUGGACUCCAUUAAAACACAUAAAUGAUUAAGAAUUAAUUCUAAACAAUUCAGCAAAUAAUUCCUAUCAUUUUCUAAAUUCAUAAGAACAUGAACAUGAUCAUCAAAAAUUCAAGAAUUAUAUGAACACAUAAAAUCAUGGAUUUUUGAUAUAUGCUAUUGUAAAUGGAUUAGAACAACCAUUACACCAACUAAAAUAAGUUUUACAACACCAAAACAAUUUAGGGUAAUGUUUCCAGUCCAUUUCCAGCAGCAAAAGUCGAGAUUCUGCAUUCUUUCGAUCCUACUCGCCGAGUGCACGAACGGACUCGUCGAGUAGGUUGAAGUUUGCCUUGGACUCGGCGAGUCCCCCCAAUGGACUCGGCGAGUCUAGCAUGCAGACAGCAACGAUUUCGACUUUUUUCACUAUUUUGCAUCAAGUAUCAAACAAGCAAGCCUAGGCUCUGAUACCACUGUUGGGUUUUGAGCAAUCUAACACUUCCUAAGUGUGCAUGCAACCCUAAUAAACCUUGGAUCUAUGUUUGUCUAAAUACAUGCAAAAUAAUAAUUUUCCAAGGUUUAUAACCUAUCUAACAUGGCAUGGGGAACAUUUCAACAUAAAAGAGUUAGAAGAGAUUACAUACCUUUGUUGUGUUGGGUUCUUAGGAGUUUGAGGGCCAAGCACCAAUAGUGUGAAUGCCUCAAAUGGAAUCACAAACACCACAAACUCUUGGAAAACUUUGAGAGAGUAUACACACUCUUGUAUUUUCGGCCACACACAUGCACACACACACUAGAACACUAGCUUUCUCUUAGGCUAUCUUAGGCUCUCUUUCAUGCUCCAUAAGCAUGCUUAUAUAGUAUGCAUGGUUAGGGUGAAACCCUAAUAACCCAUGAACUUUCCUUUUCCAAGGAUCCAUGGGUUAAAAGCUCCAUGGAUCAUCCAUGGACUUCCAUAUAAGCCUAGCCCAUUAACAAAUGAGUGUUAGCCCACACCAUAUAAAACCAAUAGCCCAUAAUCUAAUUAGUCUUCCUUUUAAUCUCUAAAUUAAUUCAUAAUUAAUUUAAGACUAAGACUAAUUAAAUAACAUAACUUUAUAUUAAUAUAUUAUAACUUAUAAUAUAUUAAUAAACAUUUGUGUAUAACUCUCAUAAAAUUAUCCAUAAAUAGUUCGGGUGAAGUGCAACCCAAAUGGACCAUGUCGGGUCGGGUCAAGUGUAUACCAAAUAAGUUAUGGACUUAGACACCUUAUCCAACACUCAAUGGGUCCAAUUAACUUUUUCCUUGGAUUAAACAUUAGAUAGGGACCCGAAGGCAUUUUUAUUAUUCAGGAGGCAUACACCAAGACACUAUUGGCCAUGUUUGGGAUGAUGGGAGACACCAAAGUGAAAGUGCCUAUGGCCUUUGGGACAAAGCUUACGCCCUCAUUGGAGAAACCAUCCGCUGAUAUGACGCUCAAUCAUCAAAUGAUUGGGUCUCAGAUGAAUCUCACAGCUAGUAGAUCUGACAUCAUGUUUUCAGUCUGUUACUGUGCAAGAUUUCAAGCUAAACCACGCGAACCUCAUCUACAAGCCGUGAAAAACAUCUUUCGCUAUCUGAAGCGAACUUCCUCUCUCGGUCUGUGGUAUCCAGCAAACUCAUGAUUCUUUGUUCAAGCAUUCUCAGAUGCUGACUUAGGUGGCUGUGGAUUAGAUCGUAAAAGCACCACUGGAGGAUGCCAAUUUCUAGAUGGCAAAUUGGUUAGCUGGCAAUCGAAGAAACAAACUUGUGUCUCUCUCUCUACUGCAGAAGUUGAAUACAUUGUUGCAGCAUCAUGCACAUCUCAAGUCGUAUGGUUACAAAGUCAACUUAGGGAUUACGGGCUAAACAUGAAGAAAAUCCCACUAUAUUGCGACUCUGAAAACACUAUUAGGAUUUGUCACAACGCAGUGCAACACCCAAAGACUAAACAUAUAGCACUGAUGUACCACUUUAUCAAGGAUCACGUCGAAGAUGAUAACGUAGAACUUCACUUCCUCAAGACGAUCGAUCAACUGGCAGAUAUAUUCACUAAGGCUUUACCAGAAGCGAGCUUCAAUAAGAUUCUACAAGGCCUAGGAAUGAUGCAAGUUGAAUCCGUACCAAAAUCGCAUUCGCUUCGAUAAAGGUAACAAGCGAAAUAGAUCGAACCGAAAUGAACCAAACAUUCGGUCUAUUUCGGGUGAAGUUCGACCAUGAACCGAAAUGAACCGAACGUUCGAUCUAUUUCGGGUUUGGUCCUUUUGAACUCGUUCGCUUCUUCUUCUUAUCAAGGCAUUUUGACUGUAUUCCUUUGUAUACCUAUUUAAAUACUUUAUAUUCAUAAAAUCCAAAAAUAUUUUUCUCUUUCGUUCAACUGGUCAAUUCUCACAAAAUACAAAAACAUUUUUUUAUUUUUUUAUUUUUUUUUAUCUAAUGUUUUUUUUGUAUAAGUGUGAUUCCCGAUGGCGAAGCUAAGGCAGGUAAAUUUUUUUAUUAGUUAAGCGUACCUAGAAGCAUGCUGUUGUAUGUUGACUAAAGCCUUGAAAGAUUUUGAGUGAAGCCUUAAUAACAUGAUAUAUAGAAAUCAUGUAUUCCCAAUCCAAGCUGCAAUUUUCACUCUAAUCAUGAGCUACCUUACUCUACUCACAUUGAGUUUAGAGUUUUCUACUUGGUCAUUCUUUUUCUUUAGAGCAGAGGUACAUUCGCUUCUUUUACCAUCUCUAUCAUUUUUCUCCAUUAUACUUCGUUUCACCAAUAUAACCCUUGAGACUCUCAGUAUUAACCACUGAGGUUUGUGGUUAUACAAAAUCUGCAUUCAUGAUCUUAGUUUCAUGCCACUAUAUACUUAGUGAAACCGACAAUUCAACACCACUAAUGAAUUGACGGUGAAUUUUCAUAUUCAAGAUCUUACUUGUUAGCUAAUGAAAUCUCUUUUUACUUUUGAGUGAUCUUUAUGAAUUUGUCUUACACCAAGGCUUUUCUUACCCUAAAGAUCCAGUUUAAUUUUUUUUAAAUUUCUUUACUUCCUUUUGUUACUAUAAAAUUUAUCCUACCUACUUGUUCAACAGAUCCCAUUGAUCUCACAAGUACUUCAUUCAGUUUGGGUCUUAGGUCAAGUAUCGAAAUUAUGAAUUGAAGAGAAAGCCACCCUUUAUAACCUUCAAAAAGAUGCCUUUCAAUACUUCUUAACAAGUUAUUGAUCGUUAUUUAAUUGGAAAGCAAGCAAGCACUUUAAUGUCUCUUUUGACUUUUAAGGAAGUGAUUGGUGCCUAGAAUCCAUUGUUUUAUGUCUAUUUAAGACAUCCCAGAUUAUCCCAAAACAUUUUCUUUAUUUCUUUAUCUUUUACACUCUAUGCACGGAAAUUUAAAUUUUCCAAACCCUGGUUCUUUUAAGACUGUUCAAUAAAGCAUAACAGACAAUGGCGAUUCAAAUGGACUUUGGGGUGACGAUUGGGAUAAAAUGAAAGCUGACUCAGCGGUUAUCUAAUCUGUUUGGCGAUUUGAAAAAGAAAAUUUUAUGGAAUGGCGUGCAAAAAGAAAACGUCCUUUCUCUUUCCUGCGUCAUCAUCGGUAUGCCAACUGUUCAUCCAUCAAGUCAGGCGCUAUUUUUGAAAUAAUUCAAGAUCUCAUCCGGAUUUUUCUCUCUCCUCCUUGUACGUAUAAAAGGAAUUGGAAUGGUACUCUUUAACCUUUUAUCACUUGCCAAACUCACUCAAAGAACAAAGGCGAUUUCUCUUACUGUUCAUCAUCUUCUCCAAGCUUCUACAAUGGCAGACUCUUCAUCCGUUCAUGAUACUUUUGUUCAUCAACCACUUCUCACAAUCAAACCUCAACAGAACCUGAACAUCGAUCUCACUCCGUUUAUCUAUGAACCCUACAUGCUAUAUGUCGUUGAGUGUCUUAAAUACUCACCUCUCGUCGAAGCUCUGACCAAAGUCGAAGUCGUACCAAUGUCCUGCCUUUCUCUUGUCUACUCCACUACUUACUACGAUAAGGUUAAUGAAAGGAUUCACUUUGAAAUCCACAAUGAGAAGACCUCAAUCUCCAAGCAUGGAUUUUAUGCCCUAAUUGGUCUCUCUCAAGAACAAUCUCUGGUAAACCCUAGAUCCAUCACCACUGGUCAACUUUUUUCUAUGUUUUAUUAGAUGGGGUAUACUGAAACCCUCACCACAAUAACCAAGUUCAAGAAGUCCUACCUUCCACCUCAAUGGAAUGGCCUUUUCACUUUGUUGUUCAAAGCACUCUCUGAGCGAAGCGUCGGCUCAGAUGGGGCGAGCAAGUCUUGUAUGACUGUGCUAUACGGUCUGUACCAUGGGAUAGAUUUGCAUUUUGGAACUAUUAUCUGGCAGCAACUAGUACAAAGGUUGGUCCCUUCAUCCAGGCACUCAGAGAUUUCUUGCGGGCGAUUUUAGUUAAUAAUCACCAGCUGGGCGAUGGAUCACCUUCAUGUUCCAAUCAUGGCGGAUUCUCUUCUCUCCUCCAUCGCUACUUUUCACACAACCAAAAUCAUAGUCACAGAUCCCACCAAGUACUCCUUUAUUGGAUCUAUUCCUGAAACCAUGCUCGCUCGUGUGUCUGCAACGAGUAAUGUUUUACAACAAUACAGGAAGAUUUCGUCUUCAGGUCCCAGGGAGCUUACGCCAGCCAUGGUUCGCUCCAUUGAAGAGGUUGACAAGCCAGCGAAAAGGGGCAAGAAAACUGAGAAUCAGAAGGAGGCACCGGUUUCCAAAUCAACCAAGGGGCAACCCCUAAGAAGCGAAAGUCUGACAAGGCUGCUACAUCACAGGCUUAACCGAAGAAACAAAAGAAGCUUGCUAGGAAGCUUAUACUCCAAUCUUCCAGUGAUUCAAACUCAGAGUAUGUUCCUCCCAAACAUCGGUCUGCUCCUCCUUCAGAAUCUGAGAGCGAAAGCUCUGAUGAUGAGGCUUCAGUUUGAGGUGAUACUCCGCCUCGCUCCCUUACCCCAGAAAUUCCAGUUCGCUCCCACCCUCCUUCACCUCCACCUAUAACCAUCCCAAUAUCCAUCCCUCCAAUAUUUCCUAUUCAAAUCACUCAACCAUUCACUACAAUUCCCAUCCCCACUCCUAUAUUCACAGACACUACUAGCACCACUACUACCACAGGAGCUCAUUCUACCGCUCCUACUCCACCCGUUACAACCACUCCACCUGUAACAACCCAACCACCUGUCACAACCGAACCUCCAGCCACUACCAAACCCUUAUCUCCUACUCAAUCCAUAGAAACUGUUGGGCUGAAGAUAGUUUUUGAUGUUGCGUCUUUUGGGCUCGUUAGAUUAGCCUUGUAUUCUCCGGUUUGGGCCUGUCCAACCGAGAGCCUUUUAUGUAUAGUAUUUAAGUUAAUGCUUGCAUGCAUAUUAGGUUAAGAUUCAAGAUUUCCGAUUUAGCAUUCCAGAGUUUUACGAUAUAGCUUUCUUGUAAUCUUCUAAUCCUUUACAGUUGAUGUUCUUAAUCGAGCUCUUCUAAGGAUUUUAUUUAAUCAUUCGACACCAAUGAUUCAAGCUGUUUUGUUUUUAAUAUUGUGCUCUGCUUUGUUAUUAAUAUUGUGUUCUUGCUGUUUUAUAUUCAUGUACUUGUUCAAGAUCUAAUCGAUCUUCUUAGAUUAAAAGUUGUUUAAUCCCAUCAAUUGGUAUCAGAGCAGGAGGCUGUGUAAUCGAUACACAUCUUUUCUGUGAAAAAGAUUUCCAUUAGGGUUUUUUCCGCAAUCAUCGAUAUUUAUUGAGCCGUCAUCUUAAUUGACGUAUCUUAGUAUUUAUUGUUUUGCCCUAAUCUGCUUUAUUACAAGUCUGAUCUUUGAACAGGUUAUUACGAUCAUUAUGGACGCAACGCAAUCAAACCCUAUUAAUAUUUCCAACAGCAUUGGUUCGACGACAAAGAUUCCAAUCUUAUACACCCAUGACUAUGAAGUAUGGGCACAUCAUUUUGAAGAUUACGUGAUUGGAUCGGAGGACAAUGGUUUUCUCAUAUGGGAAGCCAUUAUCAAUGGACCAUUUUCUCAUUCCGCGACAUCCAGAGUUAUUAAGACGCAAAAAGAAUACAACGAUUUGCUCAAGGACGUGACGAAUAUUGCGCAGGAUGAGAAAGAUAAAUUCCAGUGCAAUAUUAAGGCACUAAGGUUGAUCAGAUUCGCCCUUCAGUCCGACACAUUCAGACUAGUCAGCUCAUGCACUACGGCGAAGGAAGUGUGGGAUAGACUUCGCGAACUGUAUUCAACAGACGAAGAUCUUGAACACUCCAUCCAAACCUUGCUUCUAUCUGAGUUUGGAGAAUUCAGGCAAGGGGCCGAAGAAACCGUGACCCAGACGUUUGAUCGCUUCAAUCAUCUUCUCAGCAAGAUGAUCAAACACGACAUUGAAAGGAAGCUCAUCGAACAAAAGGUUACUUUCUUGAACGGACUGAGAUCGGAAUGGAGAGCAGUAGUUUCCACAGUCAAAGCCCAUGAACAGUUUAAAUCAUACUCUUUGGCGAAACUGGUGGGUAUUCUAAAGUCCCAAGAGAAGAUUGUUGUUCAAGAGAAGAACGUUGUGUCUAGUCUUGGUUCGUUGGCCCUCCUAUCUAAAAGUAAAGCCGUGAUGGAGGAUGAAGAGCUCAACUUGGAAGAAUAUGACCUCACAACUGAGGAUUAUGCCAUGAUGGUAUCCAAUCCUAAGAGGUUCAUAAAGAAGAGAUUCCCCAGCAACAAAAACCGAAACUGGCAGGGGAGUUAUAGCUCUGAAAAGGCAAACAAUGAACCGAAGGCUGAGGAGUCCAAGAAGGAACCGAAGGCAGAUGGCGAUUCCGGAGUAAGCUGUUUUUACUGUGGUGGCAAGAACCACUAUGCUAAGGACUGUGUUCUUAAAAAGAUGGCUGAAAAGGAUGACGGAAAGGAUGAGGAAGCCGUACUGCAGAAGAGGUUGGAUGAGUUGAGGAAGAAAAAGUCUACCGCUAACCCUUCUAUUAAUGCUCUUAUUGUGCAGGGUUCGGUUAAUAACGAUGAGUUCGGUAGCACCGAAGUUUGGUCUACUGACUCAGAAGACGAAGAAGUGAGGAAGCCUACUCAUGGAAAGGCUUAUAUGGCUAAGGAGGAAAGCAGUGGUGGAAAAUGCUUCAUGGUGUCAAGCGCAUCUCAAAUGAGGGGAUACAAUACCGAUGGAGGAAGCAAUGGACCGAAAGUGCAGGAAGAUAUGUGCUUCACAGCCAAACCACUCAGCCAACAGUUCAAUGAGCUUGAUGAACUGAUAAAGAAGGUACAAUCUGUUUUUAUUUCAUCUAAAGUACCAUCAUCCUCAUAUGAGAAAGAACUAAAAAACGUUAACACAAGAAUUUCUCAUUUAGAUAGUAGCUUAACUCAAACUAGAGUCACCAAUUCUAACCUGACUGAUCAAUUAAGCAGGGUGGCGUCGAAGAGUGAGGAGCGGCGUAUGUGGAUUGAGUUAAAAGAGUCGGAAUUAAUUAAAGUCAAAGACGAAAACAUUUAUUUGCAGAGAGACAAUUUGAAAUUGUUAAAACAACGAAAUGUUUUUUGUUUAAUAGCUAAACGUUUAUAUUCCAAUAUUACUCAGCUGCACUUGGACUGUGAGAUAGGCAAAAAGAUCCACCGUAUGAUUUUACCAUUCCUAGAAUUUAAGGAGGAUGAAAUCGAUGCCGAAGCUUACAAUUGUGAGAGUGUGAUUUCGUCUGAUGAUGUCAACCCAACUUAUCAAAUUGGACUGGACAAAAUUGAGUCCUUCAUUAAAUCCAAAGACCAUAAGGACAUGCUCAAAAAUCUGUUGGACGAAAAUGAUAGACUUAAACUGAGAACCGAAACCAUACAAAAGUUUGACUCUCUAAAUGCCAAAGUAAGCUCAGAAAAUAAAAUUGAUGUUGAAAAUGCAUCUGAGCUUAACGAGGACGAAAACAUGAGUGAAAUUUCUGUAGAGGAUACGGUUGACUGCUCAGAAUUUGUGAAAAGCGAAACUGAAAACCACAAAAAUCUUAUUUCUGAAAAUUCUGUGGAAUUCGCUAGAUUGUCCCAACAAAAGUCCCCGAAAUUAGUAGAAAAGGCUGUUGUCUAUCAAAAGGUCAGAACCACUCCGAAUCAGGUAUACAAAGUGACUGGAGUAACCGAACAUCAGACAGCUGAACUCACGGCUAUUGUUAACGAAGACAAUGCUGAUGGCUGUGAUGAGUUCUUCUGGGAAGCUCCUAUUGACAAUGGAAACGAAACCGUUGGCCUAUCUGAAAGAACCUCUUGGAUGAAGAAAGGGAGAUACAUACCUGAACCCUUGAACAAGCCUGAUAAUUUCAGUGAACCAAGCACAAGUGGUACAAAAGACACUCCUCAAGAGGUUGAUCAUUCAGUAAAAGAAGACAUUCCUUCAACGCCAACAGCUCGAAGUGAAACUUCAUCAGAUACUCCUUCCACUUCCUCAGGGCAAACUGAAUCUUCUUCAGAUAUUCCCUCUGCUCCCUCGUUUCAAAGAAAAACUCCUAAAGUUCAAAAGGAAUCAGCAAAGGUUACAUCAAAAGCGAAAGCGAACGUUCAUCAUCAACCUAAACAGAUGAGGGAUAAAAAGAUAGAAAGGAACCUAAGAUACAGGAAAAACCUUUCUGAAAGGAAACAAUUCUGGCACUCCCAGAAUGCAUACUAUUCACACAAGGACAAGAAUCUGAAGUAUGAAAAUAAUCUCGUAAGAAAGCACGAUAAUUCCAACAACCGAAAGCCAAGGUUCGGUUCGCAAGAAGAUACCAACCGAAAGCCAAGGUUCGGUUCGCAAGAAAAUACCAACCGAAAGCAAAGGUUCGGUUCUGAAAAGGAUUUCAACCGAAACCAAAGGUUCGGUUCCAAGAACAACUCCAACCGAACUCAGAGGUUCGGUUCUGAAGUCAGAAGAGAACAAGACUCAAAGGUUAAACCCACCAACGAUCAAAAGCAAAAGGGUCACCUAGAGUCAUCAGCAAGGAAGACACCUCCAUCCAAAUCCAAAUCCUCUCUUCCUAAUUCUUCUUGUUCAUCUCCAUCUUGCUCUAACACUAAUUCCAUGGGUUCUCAAAAACCACGUCCAUCUGCUGAACAGAAGGAAAAGCAGAAAGUCGGUGAAUUCAAACCUGAGUCUAAAGCGAACAAAUCCAAUCCUAACAAAAUAAAAGUUUUCACCAUUAAAAAGAAAGAUGAAACAACUUUAAUUAAAAGAACAUAUCUUGUUGAUAUCUCUCUAACUAUUCCUGUUCCCAUGAAAACCUCACAUGGACCCAAGAAACUUUGGGUUCCUAAAUCUGCUUAAUUUUUGCAGGUUAUAAGUGACGAGCAGUUUGACGAAGAAUGGUACAUCGACAGUGGCUGCUCGCGUCACAUGACAGGGAGGAAAGAGGAACUCAGGGAAUACAGAUCUCUUGCAAAUGGUGGCAACGUUAAGUUUGGAAAUAACUCUUUCGGCACCAUAAAGGGAUAUGGGAUGAUAACGAAUGGUGAUUUUACCAUAAGAAAGGUGGCCUAUGUGGAAGGACUUCAACACAACCUCAUCAGUGUAUCUCAGCUUGUUGGAGGUACAGGUCUCAAAGUUUCAUUCGAUGAUGAAGGUUCUGAAAUCAUAGAGAAAACGACAAAGAAAGUGAUUCUGAAGUCAGAGCGAAAGGGUGAAAUGUUUCCGCUGAACAUGAAACCCAUCAAAGGAAACCCAGCAAUAUGUCUGCUAUCAAAAGCUCAAUCCGACGAAAGCUGGUUGUGGCACAGAAGACUCUCUCAUCUCAAUUUCAAAGAUAUCAACCGACUUGUCACUGGAGGUCAUGUUAGGGGUCUUCCAUUGCUCAAGUUUGACAGAGAGCAUUUAUGUGCUGCAUGUGAAAUGGGAAAGCAGAGUCGUCAAAGUCACCCAUCCAUAAUUAACACAAAAGUUGUUGAACCACUCGAAUUGCUUCAUAUCGAUUUAUGUGGUCCUUCAUCUAUUGAAAGCAUCGGUGGUAGCAAGUACAUUCUUGUUGUCGUUGAUGACUUCUCUAGAUUUACAUGGGUGUUCUUUCUAAAGCUCAAAUCUGAAGCGACUCAAAAGCUGAAAGUGUUUAUCAAGCAAAUUGAAGUCCAGCUCAAGAAGGUCGUUCGCAACAUCAGGAGCGACAAUGGUCUCGAAUUCAAGAACAGGGAGUUUGAAGAGUUUCUUGCAGAAAAGGGAAUUAGCCAUAAUUUCUCAGCUCCCUACACACCACAGCAGAACGGAAUAGUCGAAAGACGAAACCGAUCUCUGUGUGAAGCUGCCCGAACUAUGUUAAGUUUCGCUUCCUUACCUCUUUAUUUUUGGGCUGACGCUAUUUCUGCUGCUUGUUAUACACAAAACAGGUCCUAUCUCAACAAGCGAUUCACGCUCACACCAUAUGAGAUACUAAACAACAGGAAGCCCAAUGUGAAAUUUUUCCACGUUUUUGGCUCAAGGUGUUUCAUCUUUAACUCUAAAGAACACCGCAACAAGUUUGAUGUCAAAGCCGACGAGGGAAUCUUUCUGGGUUACUCACUCACUUCAAAGGCGUACAGGGUCCUAAACAAACGAUCAAGAAGGAUUGAAGAGACAUACUAUGUGACCUUCGACGAUAGCUAUGUCAAGAAGCUACAGGCCAUAGAUGACACUGCCAGGGAAAUCUUUCCUCAAACUGGUCAAGUCACAGUCUCAAUCGCCAAUAUGUACGAGAAUUUUCUGGAUCUCUUUGACGAACCGGAAAAAGCUUCUCUCUCAGAAGCAGGUGCAGCCGACAACAAAAUAGAUCAUAUGAAGCAGAUUGUCGAAGAUGCUGCAAGAAGAAUGCAUGAAGGAGAAUCGCCUACUGAUGAAUCUCCAACCAACAAUGCUUCAGUCGAGGGGGAGCCAAAUUCUCUUGUCGAGGGGGAGCCUAGCUCACAAGUCCAGGGGGAGCCAAGCUCUACUACUUCAACCGAAGGUCCUUCAUCAACCGAAGGUAACUCUCCAACCGAAGAUGCCCCUCCAAACGAAGGUGCUUCAAUGCCUGAAAGUCCAGCACCACAAGAAACCCCUGAACCUCAUGUUUCUCAAGACUCAUCAAUUGAGGGGGAGCAUGAUGAUAUGACGCUUGAUUUCGAUAGCCAAUCUGAGCCUGAAGAGAUGAUCAACGCUGAACUAGAUCCAACCUUCGAUCCGAAUUACCCUCCUCUUACAAAAUGGACCAGAGAUCAUCCUAUCUCUCAAGUAGUUGGUGAUGUAUCUGAAAAGGUUCUGACCCGAUCUCAACUGAAGGCAAAACAGACAUCCUUAUUCUCAAAGGUUGAGUUUUGUAUGUUUAACUCAUUUGUAUCAAAAGUUGAACCGAAGACAGUGAACACUGCCCUCGAUCACUCUGAUUGGGUUCAAGCAAUGCAAGACGAACUAAACGAGUUUGAAAGGAACAAAGUCUGGCGCCUCAUUCCAACUCCUCCGGAUGCUUCAGUUGUUGGUCUUAAAUGGGUUUUUCGAAACAAAAUGGACAAGGAAGGUAAUGUCAUAAGGAACAAGGCUCGUCUGGUUGUCAAGGGAUACUGUCAGGAGGAAGGGAUAGAUUACGAAGAGACGUUCGCUCCAGUAGCUAGGCUAGAAUCGGUUAGAAUAUUUCUGGCCUAUGCUGCUCACAAAAACUUUGAGGUUUUCCAAAUGGACGUCAAGUGUGCAUUUCUCAAUGGAGAACUUGAAGAAACUGUGUAUGUGGAGCAACCUCCUGGGUUCGUGAACGAAAAGUAUCCAAAUCAUUGCUACAUUCUGGAUAAAGCUGUGUACGGCCUCAAACAAGCUCCGAGAGCCUGGUAUGAAACGCUUACAAAAUUUUUAAAGAUGUCCAAAUUCAAACAAGGUUCGGUUGACCCAACCUUCUUUCGCAAAAAGGAAGGUAACCACCUUAUGAUAGUUCAAAUUUAUGUCGAUGACAUCAUCUUUGGCUCUACGAAUCCCAGCUUAACAGCUGAAUUCAGAAAGUUGAUGGAGACUAAGUUUGAAAUGAGCUCAAUGGGUCCUAUUAAUUUUUUCCUUGGUUUAAAUAUAAGACAGGGACCCGAAGGCAUCUUUAUCAAUCAGGAAGCUUACACGAAGACUCUCCUAGCAAAGUUUGGCAUGAUGGGAGACUCAAAAGUCAAAGUCCCAAUGGCAUUCGGCACCAAACUUACCCCUUCACUAGAUAAACCGGCUGUCGACAUCACGCUCUAUCGUCAAAUGAUAGGCUCAUUGAUGUAUUUAACUGCUAGCAGGCCUGAUAUCAUGUUUUCUGUGUGCUAUUGUGCUCGAUUUCAGGCUAACCCACGCGAACCUCACAUGCUGGCAGUGAAGAACAUCCUACGCUAUCUCAAGCGAACCGCCUCCUUAGGUCUAUGGUAUCCAUCCAAUUCAGGCUUCUUCGUUCAAGCCUAUUCUGAUGCUGACCUUGGAGGAUGUGGACUCGACCGCAAAAGCACAACUGGUGGCUGUCAAUUUCUUGAUGGGAAAUUGGUCAGCUGGCAAUCCAAGAAACAAACGUGUGUGUCGCUGUCUACUGCCGAAGCGGAAUACAUUGCCGCUGCAUCCUGCACAUCACAAGUGAUUUGGAUCCAGAGUCAACUUCGAGACUAUGGACUCAAUAUGAAGAAGAUCCCACUAUAUUGUGACUCUGAAAGUGCAAUUAGGAUCUGUCAUAACCCAGUGCAACACUCUAAAACCAAACACAUAGCACUGAGGUAUCACUUCAUCAAAGAUCAUGUGGAAGAUGGAAAUGUCGAAGUUCACUUCGUAAGAACCACUGAUCAACUGGCUGACGUCUUUACCAAAGCUCUUCCAGAAGCAUCGUUCAAUAAAAUAUUGCAAGGGCUAGGAAUGAUGGAAUCAGAGUCAGUUCCUCACACUACCUCUCAACCUCAAACGUAAGAAGCGAAAUCAACCGAACGUUCGGGUUCAGUUCAACCAUCUCACUCGCUCAUUACUUCAAAGGUAGUUUUUCAGUACUGUAUAUUUCGUGUGCAAAAUUUGUUUCUCUUUAUGUAAAAAGUUUUUCCAAAUGGCUUAUCUAAACUCCUUGGUCUCUUCAAAAUUUUCAAAACCGAAACCUCCAGAAGGUUCGGGUUCGGUUUUUCAAAAUUUUGUGGAACGAAACCAACNGAAACCAACCGAAGGUUCGGGUUCGGUUUUUCAAAAUUUUGUGGAACCGAAACCAACCGAAGGUUCGGGUUCGGUUUUUCAAAAUUUUGUGGAACCGAAACCAACCGAACGUUCGGGUUCGGUUUUUCACUCGUUUCCCAAGUUUUUUUUUAAAUCGUAUUUUUUUCUUUUCCAUCUUUUCAAUGUUUAUUUAGUUUUUUUUAUUAUUUUAUUUUUUUAAAAAUAUCAAAACUUCAAAAAUAUUUUUUUCUUUUCGUGUGCUCAUUCGCUUAUGGGGAUAUAUAUUUGAUGGCUUACUUAAGUGUCCCUAGAAGCAUGCUGCUGUAUGUGUCCCAAGCCUCAUAAGAUUUUGAAUAAUAGCCUUCAUGACCUGGUAAACACAAACCUUGUCUUCCCAAUAAGGCUAACUCAUUUAUUCUAAUCGUGAGCUACCUCACUCUUUUCUCACAUGAGUUCAGAGUCUCCUGCUUGGUCCUUUUGUUCGCAGCAGAGGUACUAUGUCUUCUUUCACCAUCCCCAUUACACUUCUCCAUAACAUUCGUUUCAUCACUGUAACCCUUGAGACUCUCAGAAACUACCACUGAGGUUUAUGGUUACACAACAUCUGUGUUUAUGAUCUUAGUUUCGUGCCACUACGAGCUGAGUGAAACCCAAAAUUCAACACCAACGAAUUGACGGUGACCAAUUAACUUGAUCAAGUUUUCACCAAUGAAUUGACGAAUGUACCUUCAUGGAAUCUCAAUUUCUUUUCUUUUUGAGUGAUUCCAAUGAAAUUGUUACACACCAUAACAUUUCUUCCCAAGGGAUCCAGUUUUAAAUUUUUAUCUGAGAUUUCAUAUUAAUCCAAGCCACUACAAAAUCAACUCAAACCUACUUGUUCAACAGACUACACUGGUCUCACAAGUACUUUGUUCACAUUCGUUCUUAUAUCAAGAAUUGAAUUGUUGAAUCAAAGCGAAACCACCCUUAAUUUGCCUUAUUAAAAGAAGCCUUUCAACAUUUAUUAAUAAAUGUUUGAUCGUAAUUCAACGGGAUUCCACACUAACACUUUGAGGUCUCUCUUGACCUUGAAGGAAGAGAUUCGUGCCCGGGAUCAUCAGUUUCGUGUCAUUAUUGACAUCACAGAUAAUCCUAAAAAGAGUUGCUUUAUUUCUUUAUUUUUUUUU